This 48594-nucleotide long non-coding RNA is filed under the name Ananas comosus (pineapple). RNAcentral's name for it is "long non-coding RNA (ACOM_LNC009581)". Lineage: Eukaryota; Viridiplantae; Streptophyta; Magnoliopsida; Poales; Bromeliaceae. The record is from RNAcentral.
UCGCUUGAAGUUUACAUGAACAUGCAAACAUGAUGAAAGAUCCAAGUAAACAUAAUACAAGAUCAUCCGCUACCAAAUCAAGUAGAUCAAAUGACAAAAUAAGCAUGACUCAAUUGAAAAUUUCAUCAUGUCCAUCACAGAUUCGCCAUUAAUCCCAUAAACAGAAGCAUGAUCGAGAACAACAAAUUGACAAGAUAGGAAAAGAGGGAACGGAGGCGACGAACCCUAAUUGCUGAUGAUGAUGAGCUAGGCGACGGGUUGGUAGUAGUCGUACUCCCUGCGGAAGCGAUCGGGAUCGACGGCGACGAUGACGUAGACGGCGUAGAUCAUGCCGGGGAUGUAGCCGAGGAUGGUGAGCACCAAGCAGAUCAAAAACUCAAGCUGCAGUCAUGGAGAGCGAAGAGAUCGUUAGGGUUGGGUUAGGGUUUUGCGAUGGAUCGGAGAGGAAAGAGGGGGAGAGGGGGAGAGGCGUACGGUGCAACAGCCAUGGCGGAGGCAGACGCCGAGUGGGGGUAGGAGGAUGGCGCAUAGGAUCUCGAGGAAGAUGGCGCACGCGCCCAUGGCUACGGCUUCUUCUUCUUUAAGCUUCUUCGGUGCGUUAAUGGCCGAGGGAUUCGUCGUCGGGUGUUUUGGGGAGGCGAUCGGGGGAUGUGGGAACGAAGGGGACGGUCAUGCGAAGUGUGAUAAGCAGCGGUGCGAUCUAUGCGUGACGCGUGUCCAUUGAGAGCUGUAAAAAUAUAUAUAUAUAUAUAUAUAUAUAUAUAUAUAUAUAUAUAUAAUAAUAAACUAAUAUUAUAAUAAUAAUAAUAAUAAAGUAUGCAGACCCAUCUAGAUCAUCUGCUGUACUAGUCUAAAUUUAUUAUUUAUUUAUUAUUAUUAUUAUUAUUAUUUAGGAAAAAAAGGGUUGAAUUUGGAUUUGCCUUUUUAUACAACAAAAUAAUUUCUCGGAAUUCUAAACUUAGGUGCUUUCCGACGAGCAAAAUACAAGAGAGCUAGGAUCAUAUCGUGUUCGGACCUGGUAAAGAUGAGUUAAACACAAACUAACUCAAACAAAUUGUAAGCUGAUCUAUUGAAUUCAUCACAAGUUCGAGCCGAUUACAAGCUAUUGACGCUUUCAACUUUUUGCCCUUAAAUGCAUUUGAAUUUAAGCUUUUGGCUGCUAAAUCAAUGUGUCUCAAAAGUCAAUAUAUAUUAGAAUCCAGCUACUAUAUUCUUCUAAGUAUAGAUUUUUCUGUACUCGUAAGUUUUCGACCGUUAGAUUCAUCUUUUUGAUCAUUUUUAUAUGUUAAAUUAUACUGUUCAACCAAUCAUCCAUUCAACCUUAGGAACCACUAUUAUUCUAAUCGAAAAUUACUAUCAUCUUAUCCGUAUAUUUUGUCAUGCAACGGUCAAAAACUUAUGAGUAAGAAAAGAAAAAAAAAAACUUCUGAAACUAGACUUUAAGAGAAAGAGCCAAAAGAAAUGAACGAAUAAUUUGCUUUCAAAUGUUCAACGCAUUAUUUCCAGCAGAGAAUUUUCUAGUGCCAAUGAAUCACUCUCCCUUCAUGAUACAUUUUUUAUUUUCGACCUACUUCCUAAUCCUAAGUUCAUCUAUCCACCAUCACUCUCUCCCUCCUCAUUUUCUUUUCUGAAAUUGCUUCAAAUUUCACAAACAGAAACAACAUUUUAUGCUGCAGGUCUUAAGAUUUUGGUAAUGGUUCUCCUGCUAAAAAUGACUGGAACAGCUCGAAUGCUCGUCGCGGCUGAAACAACGGCACCUCGUGCCCUGCUCCUCUCACCGACGCGAACGUCAACCCCUCGUAUACCUCCGACCAUCCUCCGACCUACGAUUUUUGUUCUAUUACGUCAGAAAAUGAUCGUAUCAUGUUAUCAUGCAAAAUGUAGUGUUUUACGAAUUUUAUUGCGACUUACUUGUCGGCCCGAGUACCAUGGAUACCAAGGGAUCUUCACCUUCAGAUGGAGAUGGCCGAUCGAGAACCUUGUCGCCGUCACCGGUACCACUGAAUCAGUGUCCCCACUGCGUGCAUAUCACCACACAACUUCAUUAAAUUUUGUCAAUAGCUCCAUUCAGAGAAAAGCUGUUUCAGAAACCAGGUGAAAUAAGUGCCGACGAACGACAAUUACGGCUUACCUAAACACCCAUAUCCUCAGACCUGCGCCGAUCAGCUCCUUGUACGUCGGCAGCAUGGAGAUCUGAGAAUCACGCCACGUCUUUAUGAGUACGUCGCUGUUUACGUAAUCAGAAACGGAAACGAAACAGUCACAACUAGAUCGAAAUAAUCAAACACGGACGAAUCGAUUGUCACAUUCGCACCUGCAGGCCGUCCAUCUGUAAGGAAUUCUCGUGAUAUUCGCAUGCAUCACUCUCUGCACGUCGGGACGGUUGUAGUACUUCUCGGCGUAAGUUUCAGUGCAGGGGUCGUAGCCCGAAUAGGAGCGGCGGCGGAGUAAGGUGUUCUUGAGCCGCAUGAGGGGGCGGUGGCGUGCAGAGGAAUUGGAGGUGGCAGCAGCAGCAGCACAGGAGGGAGUGUAGAUGCUGUACUGGUCGAUGUCCCCGAACUCGUGGUUCAUGGCGUAGUUGACAGCACCGUCGCAGGGGCGGGACGUCUUGACGGCGGAGAAGUUGCAGGAGGAGAGAAUGGAGCGGUAGGUGCUGUCGGAGAUCAUGGCGUGGGUCCACCAGUAGGAAACAGUGCCGAUGCUGUCGUAGUAGUUGUCCGUCACCGCGUUGCCGACCUACGCGACAGAUAAUCAAUCCUACAGGCACUUCAAUUGCGAAUUCUAAAUUGUUGAGUGCAAUCUACAACGCCCGAAAGUUCUAAAUGUGAAAAAUCUUGUAUAACAAAUAAUAACUACAAAAUUGAGAGAAAUUAUAUAUUGUCCUUUAUCCUAAACGUAUGCGCGGAAUCAUCGAAAAGAUAGAUAAUUUAUAACAAGAAAAAGGAAAUCCAAGCUACAAUUGAUCGCAAGAUGAAUAAACUUCCGAGUAAAUACUCACGAGAAAUCCCUUGAGGUUGAUGAAGGGCUUUGAUAUAGCUUUGUUGUAGUCGACUAUUUUCUUUGCCAACUGAGGCACAUAGUGCCCUACAAAAAAAGAAACAUCUAUAACAAAAAAAAGGGCAAUAAAUGAAAUAUCGAAACUAAAACAUACAGAAAUCGCAGCGAAGGUCGUCAGUGCUUGCCAAUUACAAGCUAGAAGCUGCUAAAAUAGAUUUUAAUUUCGAUUUUUCAUCCUAGUCUCUGAACUCUGAAUUUUCACCUAACUAUAUAUAACUUGCUCUUUUAGAUUCUUCACUUAAGUGAAUUCACUUCUAUAUCGAUUCUGAGUGCGAUACCGUUGAAAUCUCUAACAUCUUGAACACGUAAAUUGAAAAUUAAACAGAAAUUAUCGACGCAAAUGAACACAUUGCAGUAAAAAAAAAAAGAAAAAAGUUCAGAAACUAGUUUCGACAAUGCAUUUUACGACAGAACAUAUUACCGCACCAGAACACUAAUACAAUGACAACAAGGGAAUAUAUUCCUGAGUGGUUCACUAGUCCACAAUGUUUUUCAAUCAAGGUACUCAAACUCGGGACUUUUCACUGCCACAUAAUUGUAGUAAACUCGAACUCUCGAAGCCGUACCUGCAUAGCUCUCCCCUGCAAUGUAGAAAUCUCGAUGUUUAUAUUGCGGAAAUCUCGAAUACCAACCAACCAAAAAAUGCAAAGCAUCCUGAGCUGCAAAAGAAUAUCAUAAAAUGAUCACUUUGAUUCUAAAAUAAACAGAAACAAGGCUAUAGAAUCUCAUUUAACUAACUAUGUCAACUUCGAUUUUACAGCGUACCGGUUCGUUUAUCCCCAGAGGUUUUUAGAUCAGAGCUGGUGUUUGUGUACGAGAAUCCGACGCCGGCGGGUGAUUCAAGAAAAAGAAGGUUUGCUUCUGCAACAAUGAAUCAUAUCAUUCUUAGCGCGUAGAACGCAUAACAAUAGUACUAGGAAUAUUGUUCUAUAACUAGAAUAGUAGGUUUCGAAUUUGCAAACCGAUAUUCAUGCAGAAUACGGAGUAUAAAACUGGUGCUCCGAAUCACAUAAGCCCGGUCAUUAUUAUUUACCUCGAUUCCACGAGUAUUUGUUUAGGUACAGUGACGAGCCAUUUCGUUUGAUCCUGAACGGUCCGACCUCCUCCGAUGCUCCGUAAGCCACCGAAGAGCAGCCCGGACCUGCACAAAAGAGCAACAACAACAAGCGAUCACAAAUUGCUCCAAUAUGCGCUUCUGGGCCGUAAAAAUAAAAAUUUCAAAUAUGAAAUCUCCUGCUUCUAGCACGAAGAUGCGCGCUUAGUUGUGAUUCAUUGGAAAGGAUAAUUAGUGCUUCUUCAAAUAAUUCUCGAGUAAUGCUAUGCUUAUGUGAAUGUCUACGCAAUAUUAUGAAUUGUUUGCAAGCAUAGUAUUAUUCAAACAGUACUUCUAUAGGCACGCCAAAUAAGCCAAACCAAAAUAGUACUAGAUUCAUAAUAAAAUUGAAUUUAUUAUACAUAUGAACGAAAUAUGUGUGAGCCAUCGGAUCGGAUUUUAAGGAUCCGAACACCAAAUUUUUAUUUUCAAUGGUCAAUCAAACGCUCUAUAUAUAUUGCACACAAAUAUAAAAAUAACACAAUUUAGAAUAUCAUUUUAAUAGAAAAUUAUCAUAUUAUUUAUGUAGAAUUAGUUUGAGCUACCCAUUUGGCACCCUACUAUAUAUAUACUAUACUUCUCUUAGUUUUCACUAGGGCUGUCAACGAGCAGAAUGCAAGCGAGUUGGGGCGUGUUCAUAUUCGUUCGUAUGUUAUAUGCGCCGAAUACGAGCUAGCUUACGAACAAUAAGUUAAAUUAUCUAAAAAAUUAAGAAAAAAUUAAAAAUUAGAAUCUUAAUUUAAUAAUUAAAAUUUAUAAAAUAUAAUUUUUUUUUAUAUUUGGGUUGGUCUAAAAUUAAAGUAGUAUAAAUUUGUAAUAUACAGCUGUCAGCUGAAGACGAGUUAGCUCACGAACAGCUAGCUGAAUUGCCCAGCCUAAUUUCCACCCAAUUUUUUGUUCUUUUUCUUUUUCUUUUUAUCUCCUAAUAACUCUUUACCAAGUAGAAACUAAUAAGAAUAUAAAAAACCAUAAAAUCCAAAUCCAAAUCUCUCUCUCUCUCUCUCUCUCUCUCUCUCUCUCUCUCUCUCUCUCUCCUUCCACAAACACACACACACACAAACAGAGACAAAGAGGCAAAUAAUUAAAAGUUGGAGGCGCUUUUUAAAAUGCGCCCUGCUUUUCUCCUCCCAACUCGCUGCGCGUGCCUUACUUCACAUCAGGGUUUACCUCCACCCACUCUCUCUCUCUCUUUCUCCCUCUCUCUCUCUCUCUUGUAACCAAGUCAAACCAUCCAUAUGUUAGACAGAGAAACAAGUGAACUCACAUAGUCACAUGUUAUGUCAAGGGAACAGAGAGAAACAAAACAAAUCUAGAGAGAGAGAGAGAGAGAGCACUGAUGGCAUGCUCCCAGCCCUUUGGCACAGACUGCAAACCCACUAAAAGAGAGGAAAACAGAAAGGUUGAGAAACUACUACUGCCUGAAUCCAGCUCACCAUUUAUCACCGUGGACUGUCCAGUGAUCUGCUCUUACAAUCUUGUUCAUUUCUUUCUUAUAAGUACCACCGCAUGGUAGAUUUAACCUUUUUUUUUCUAAAAACUUAAUUUUUUUUAAAGAAAUAAUAGUAAUUUCAUGCUAAUUUGGCGCGUAAAUCAAAAGCGCCAAAAUUGCAGACUUAGAAUCUUACUUUUACUCUUCAAAUGUAGUCGAACUGUAAAGUUCUUCUCUCUUUUGAGGGUGUAAUUUAAGUACAAUCCCAUGGUCGAGGAUUUUUGAACACGAAAGUGAUUUUGCUGCACAUCGGCGGAGGGAUUGCCAGAAAAGAUGGGAGGGAGACUCAGAGAGAGACAGAUGAGUGGAUGGUCCACAGCUGACAUGGUGGACUAAGUCCAAACAAGAUUGCUCAUGCCUGUGAGGCAGAAAAAGUAGCUGGUGGUGUGUUGUUUGUAGUUACUUUUUUUUUCCUUUUUUUUCUCUCUCUUUUUUCUUCUUUUUUUUUUUUUGUUUGGUGAAAUCCACAGGGUGAUGAUUACAAAGGAUGCAGCAAAAAGAAUAAAAAUGGAGAGCCACAGCUUUUUAGAUCUCUUUGUAUAGCCUGACUCAGUCACAUGAACCAACCAACUUUGGUGCCACACACACCUAAACAAACACAUUAAUAAGAUUAUCCUUAACGUAAAAAGUAUAAAAUUUAUCUAAAUUAUACACCAUUUUGAAUUAGUUGUUUAAUUUUUUAAAAUUUUAAUUUUACUGACUAAUCUUUUAAUUUUAUUGAAUUUGAGUCGGUCAACAGCACUUUAAUUUUAAAAUUUAAGUUAAUUACUUUACGAGAAUUACGUGAAAUAUCAACUUUUGAAGUCAAAGUAUUAUUGGCUGACUCAAAUCGAACAAAUUGCAAAAUUGAAUAGCAAAAUCAAAUUUUUUAUUAGUUGGAUAUAGUGAAUUCAAAAUGGUGUACGGUUUAGAUAACGUUUGGAUGUUUUUACCAAUCCUUAAUAAGACCAUAAGAUCUUUCACACAGUGUCUCUUUGUGUAUUCUUUUGACCUUUUAACUAGUGCAGUAAAAAAAGAUUUGAGGGCCCUAUUUUAUAUUGUCUUGUCCUUUUUUACUACUUAGAUCCUUGUUGUUUUUAUUUAAAAAAGUACUUGCUAUGGUACUAUUGGUUAAUUUAGGGUUGGAUGUGGUCCUUCUUUUUUUUUCUUUUUUUAAAUUAACAAUAAAACAACUAAACAGGUUAAAAUUUAUUCACAUGUUAAUAGUGGAGCUGGGGAUUAUUAAGACUUUAUUAACAUUAUAUAUAGAGAGAGUUGAACUGAAAUAUUAUCAAUAGCAUUUGGACUCUUUUGCUAUCGAUUUUUUAGCCGUUAGAUCUACACUUUAAUCAAUUCCACCCUUUAAAUCAUAUUAUUCAACCAACCAGUCACUUAACCUUAGGGGGACCACUAUCAUCAUAAUCCUACAAUUUUUCAUAUAAUAGUUAAAAACUCGAUAGCAAAAGAGCCCAAAUACUAUUAAUAGUAUUCCAGCCCAAUUCUCUCUCUCUCUCUCUCUCUCUCUCUCUUCUCUCUCUCUCUCUCUCUCUCUCUCUCUCUCUCUCUCUAUAUAUAUAUAUAUGUGUGUGUGUGUGUAGAGUCCGGCUACUACACUAUUAAUAACACCAAGCGCUUGGUGCUAUUGAAUUUUCUACCGUUAGAUCUAUUUCUUUGACGAUUUUUAUCCGUUAAAUCAUACUAUUCAACCAAUCACUCACUCAACCUUAGUGGAUUGCUAUCAUUCUAACCUCACAUUCCUUCAGAGUCACUCUUUAAGUUUCUCAAUUCUAAAAAAUUACGAGUUCUAAUUCUGCAUUUAUCGUUUAAUGGCAUUCGGAUGAAACAUCAAAUACAUUUCUAAACUAUUUCCAUCUAAUUGAUCAUUAAGCACUUAAUUCAUUGUUCCAAACUUAAAUCUAUAUAUGGUCAGUGUUAUUCUUAUUGAUAUCCUUUAACUCCUAAAUUAAAAGCUUCUCUUAGUUUCCCCAAAGGACAAAAAGUUAUUCAAAAGGGACAUCAAUGAUCCUAACAUGUUCAUCACUGUUUGUGUUGACUAAGAGCUGUGCAAAAAUAUUUGCAAAUUUCAAAGCACUACUACCAACUUUGGCAAAUUAUAUCCUCAGAAUAAAGUAUUUAUAUAGUUUUUUUCCCUAGUUAACCUAGAAUAAUAGUACAUUGGAUACAAUGCACCUAUUAUUAUUAAUUAUUAUUAUUAGAUUUUUUUCUUUGCAUAUAAAUCACCUAAAUUUCUUAAUAUAAAAGCUAGCAAAUAUAUCUAUAAAUAUUGUCAAAAAAAUACUAAUUAUCUGGUCAUUUAUUUGAAAACCAAUACAAGAAUUUUAUAUAAACAUCCAAAUAGUAGUGUAAUGUUAUAGUUAGUAAAUGUGAGAGAUCUAGUGAAAUGCAUAACUCAUGAUAAAUAAUUUGAGGGACUCAUACGUAAUACUACAACAAUAUAGGGACAUAUUCCUAAAAAAGGGAAAAGCCAAUAUUACAGUAGGUGGGGACCCACCACCACUGCCACGUAGACUAUCUAAUUUUGUGCCACGUGGCCUUCCCGCGUUAUGCAUUUACUGUGGGUAGGUAAUGUGUACCUAAACAUAGAUUUUGCUCAAUUACCUCAUCAUUUUCGAAUCAAUGUCGCUCACUAAUUUAAUUCCAAAAAUUUUACAAAAAUUACAAUAAAAACAAAAGGAAAAAAAGUUGGAUUGACUACACAAUUAUUAUCUAAAAUAUCAAUUUAAUAAGCAUAAAUGAUGAAUAAAAAAUACGUAAAAUUUAUCAGUUAAAAUAAAUAUUAUUCAUUAAAGAGUAUUAGAGAUGAUGACUAAAACUUGAAACUAAGUCUAAAGAAUUCAUUAUCUAAUUAUAAAAAUAAAGCUCAGAAAUAUAUUUAAUUAGUAACAACUAGCUACAACUAUAGCAAAAAUUAGAUUAAAGGUUUAAUUAAUUUCUUUGCAUAAUAUUUUUCAACCUUAUGAAAAUGAUAACACCAAGCAAAUUAAACAAACCCUCUUGAAAAAUGAAAAGCACACUCCCUUUUAGCUUUAUAUUCAAAGUAACACACACACACAUCACUGUGGAAUAAUAUAUGAAAUAAUUAUCUUUUAAAAAUUUUGAACUUUAGAUUCAACUUCUAAGAUAUUAAACCGAAAGAGAAUGAUAUUUUAAUAAUUUAUAUUCAACAAAUAUGUCGAUAUAUGUGCAUAUUAAAAAAAAAGAAAAAGAAAAAGAAAAAAGAAAAAAAAGAACAACAAUGUUACGAGGGACUAACCUCCAUUGAGCCAAAGAACGAGGGGCUUCACAGAAGAGUCCACGGUGGCCUCCGUGAGCCAAUAGAAGAGGGCCCUGCCGUGGACCCGGUCCACGGUGACGUACCCGGAGAACUGGUCAAAGCCCACCGGGGGUUGACCGGGGAGAGCCCUUAUACGAUCCCGAUCAGCUUCUGAGCAUCGCUCUCCACGAGUGUCCCCCACAACAACACCAACAAUGGCGACUAACAGGAGCAGUAACCAAAACCAGAGGAGGAAGAAGAUGAAAGGAGAGUGCAUGGUGGUGUAGUGGGGUGGUCUUUUUUGUGUACCCAUUAAUUAUUCUCACACAAGAUACGUAUAUAUAUAUAUAUAUAUAGUUUGUAGCUCUACGUAUAUAUAUAUAUAUAGGGUUCUUUUUGUUAUCUAAAAAUGGAGCGAGCAACAAUGUGAUGGGUAAGCAAAGUAGAGGUGUGGAGAAUCUAUACCAUUGCCAUUAAUAUUUGACUUCAAAUCAAUUAUUAUAUAUAUAUAUACUAUACUUAUACUAUAUAUAUAUAUAUACUAGCCUAGGGAGUGGAAAUAAAUGCAAUCGCAACAUGCAUUCUCCACUCACUCUCUCCUACUCUCCUCUCUCUCUUACAUAGUCAGUGUGUGUAUAAUGUACAUUGAUACGUGUGCACAGUGGUAUACCAUGCAGGGGACUUGAGAAAGCUGGUUUUGGUCUGAAGAAGAGAAAGAAGUGACCUUGAUUAGAUCAUGUGACAAAACGGAGGUUUCUUGGAGGAAACUAGGCCAUAAUUCACUAGUAGAGAUCACUGUAUUUUACAGCUACGUAACCUGAACUUAUUGUAUCAUAUAACUUAUAUUUAUAUUAUAUAUAAUUAUAUAUCAUCAAUAUAUAUAUAUUAAUAUACUGAUUAAAAUCGCGCUUGUCGCUACAAAGUUUGUAUCUAUGGAUUUUAAAGCAAGUUGCAGUGGAAAGGUCAGGAAAUGGGACAAGUAGUGGACCCAUUUAUUUGUACCUAGAGAUAUAAUUAUUUAUUUUAAUUAUAUCUUAAACAAACUGUUAUGAUUUGCGUGGGGUAUUAUCACUUUAGUUUAAUAUUAAGUGCGCAUGAUGUGUACUCUAUCUACAAUUUCAAACAAAGCCAAGAGAUGAUUAAGGCUUAUUCUUUAAACUGUGAUUGUUAGGAUUAUAGUCAUAUUUAUUGUCACACAAAACAGCUUUUUCUAACUAAUAUUCAACCACCAUGCAUAUCUUUUUGACAAAUUGUACUUAACCUGCAACACAGCAAUACAAAAAGAUGUGGGUUAGGCCAAUUGAAUAGGACCUAACUUUUGAAUUCUUUUCUCAGAAAGAAGAAAGAACAAACAUGUUUUUCUAAUUAAUGACCCAAAAUAUUAAAUACCUUAUCCAUUAUUGGCAUGAGAGGCACUAGCUUGUGGGUCAAAACAAUGCCUCUCCUCUUUUUCCCUAUUUAAUGAGUUGGAUGGUGUUUCAAACAUGUUAUGGGCCCUCAUAAAUAAAUGUUGUUCCUCUUCUAUAAUCUAAUGUUUUGACCACUUGACCCAAAAAAAAAUAAUAAUGUAUAUACUAUUUAUCAUAUUUAUAGGGAUCUGUAUGAAAUUAACCCUUUUAUAUACUAUGUGUGCAACCUCUUGACAAAUUUAGCCUUUGCCCCUUAGUGAGAGGCAGAAAAUAAUAAUUAUGGUGUUACCCUUUAAUGUACUGUUUUACUUGUUACUUCGUCACAAUUCACAUGGGCCAAAGUUUCCAAAACUGCUCAUCUACAAUGAUAUUUAUAUAUAGGUGCCUUAAAAAGAGUGAACCAUUUGUCAUAGAACAAUCCACCAUUUUCACUAGGGAGGUAUAUAUAUAUCAUGUAAUUUAUAUGUACAGGAUUAACCCUAGCUAGCUAGGAACCAAACAAUGUGUUUUAUAUUAAAUUGAAUGCUAUUUUGUUUAUUAUUUAGCUUAGCCUUUGUUAUCUACUUAUUGUGCUUUUAGUUCAAUGCACAAACUGUUGGAUUUAGUAAAUUUAUUGAUUUGUUUAAGUAAAAUUGCUCAAAUUAGAAGAAGCAAAAGUUGAGAAAAAUAUCAACAAAAAUAGGGGGUGAUGAUGUUAGCGUAUCCAAAAUUAAUAACGAGCAACAAAUUCCUUAUAGAUAAAAAAAUAUUUUUUCAGACAAAAUUAUUUUUUUGAAAUAUUUUUUGAAAAAACCAUACUUUUUCUUUUUCGUUGUUCAAAUAGAGGACAGGUUGGAUAUUAAUUGCGCGACAUUGACAAGUGAGAGCCCUAAUAACAAACCACAGCUACUUAAAGCCAUUCUCAUUAAUUUUCAUACAUAGGUAUAUUAAAAAAAAAAAAAAAACUUUCUAUUAAGGUUCACCAUUCAAGGCUCUUUGAAAUGCGUGCGAAACCCCACAACAAAGGUCUCCUCUCCUCUCCUCUCUAUGCUCUCAUUAAUUAUCAUACGACAUAAAUGAGCACGAGGUGUAGGGGAGAGAGAGAGAGAGAGAGAGAGGAGGAGAGAGAAAAUGAAUAAAUAUUAAAUAAAUAUUUUGCAUGGUUUUAUCCCUAGAGGAUAGGGUAGCUACAGUGGGGUGGUAUAUAAAUGGAUAUAUUAUUUUUGCCGACAUGAAUUAUUAAUAUUUGUAUGUUUAGAAGAUGACGAAGUGGUUUGUUUCUGUCACCUUUCUUAUGUACGUACGUAUGGAGGGGAAUAAAUACCAUGCAUGCAGAGCCCAAAGUGUGGUUAAUUAUAUGCAUAUAUAUUAAUCUAUGAGCAUAUGAUUAUUUUAGAAGUUUUAGGUUUAGGGUAUGAACAAAACUGAUGAGUUUGCAUGUGACUAACUCCAUUAUUUUAGAUUAGGGGUUUUAGGUUUAGGGUAUAAACAAAACUGAUGAGUUUGUAUGCGACUAACUCGGGCUCGACUCGUCACGAACUCGACCGGUUCGGCACGAGCGAAAGCUUUCUAAUUCAUGAAUUAUAGAAUUAUGAAAUUUGUAUGGGUUAACUGCACCGCUGGUCCCCAAUCUUUAUUCAAAAGCAUUGUAAUCUCUUCGUUUUUUUUAAUUCAUUUUUUUUUGUCUCUUUAAUAUUUUUUAAAUUUGUUGUUUUUCUCUCCGGUAUGAGUUGAACUAUUCAAAUUUUGAGUAAUAACAAAGAGAAAAGAUAAUUUAGAAAAAUUUUAAUUUUAAGUAAUAAAAAUUUAAAUUUAAAAAAUAGAUUAGCCCAUGGCCCGGUCCAGCCCAUGAUACAGGUCUUAUUAGUGGACUCCAUCCGACCCGAGCCAUCCAAACCCGUCCCGUCCCGGGCCGGGCCGGGUCGGAUCGGGCAAAACGAUCCUAGCUUGACCCUCGUCAUAGUAUAAUUAGUAGAAUCACAUAGAUUAUUUCACCCUUUAAGAUUGGAUGAAAACUAAAAGAAAAAUAUGCAAAUUAUAUUUCACUCCUAAUCUGGACUAUCGGAUCAAACCCGGCCCGAUUCUAUAAAUGAGUGAUCCAAGCCCGAUUUAAACCAAAUUGAGUUCCAGUUCGGAUCAGUUUACGCUAAACUAUUCUGAUUUAAAUUGAACUAGAGUAGUAUUAAAAGUUCCUAAGCCCUUAAUAAUUACACAUCAAUCGAUGAGCAACAGCCAUUAAACAUAAUUUAUAAGUUCUUUAACUACCUAAAAACCAAAAUUUCAAGUUUUUUGACAUUAUAUACGCGAUCAAGUGAUCUUAAUACACUUUAUAUUGAAUAAUAGAUUAAAUAAUAUCCAAAAAUUACGAAAUAUAGUUUUAAGAAAGUUCUCGCGCCGUAUAUCAUGUUUAACGGCGCCAAUCAUCAAUUUAGAUACUCUAUCAUUGGAUGUUCAGUAUGAAAAUACGAAGGAUCUGGUGCUUCCAAAAGUAUUCUAGCUUUAACUCUUCUAACGACCUGAACAUUUUAAAAUAUAUCAUCCGACGGAAAAAGAAGCUUAAAUAUACACCCUAAUUUUGCAAUCCUUGGUCAAUUAAGAAAAGCUGUAAUUGAAGUUCCACAAAUCUCAUUUCAACUCCUAACUACUAAGUUUUAAUCAUGAAAAGUAUCAAGCUUUUCCAACACUCUGUUUAAGAAGAACACAACAAAAGUUGCACCACAUUCAUUUGAUUUGAGGUAUUCUCAGAAGUGCACAGUAAAAGAGAAGAAGAAUAUAAAGUUAACAAGCCAAAGAAGCCAAAGACAUGCACAAAUCAAACAAAAUUUGCUACUAUCUCAACUACACAUAAUUCUUCUCAUGGAUUCUAUACAUUAAACACAAUUCACAUGAUUGGCGCAUUAUUAAACACCUACCUCUCGAUUUCUGAGUCCAGCAAUAUCCGAUGGCGCACGCUACAACAUGCCCUACAUAGAACCAUUCUUUGAAAAUAUGCAACUGCUUCGGAACAAUUCGCGUGCAGCAACGGCAGAUGCUCAGUGCCGUUGAUGGGGGUGAAAUUAAGUGCACUGCAGCAUCACUUGCUCAAAAAGAUUCAGUUCGUUUCGCGCAUUGCAACUCUGCCAUGAUCAAUUGUUCAAUGAAAGAGCACUCAUUCAGUGGUCAUCCAACAGGUGAAAAGUUUUGAUUUUACUAUCAAACCUCAUAGUGUUUUUGAAAUAACUAGCUAAACCUCACCAGUUUUGAUCUACUAUCCAAUUUUACAGCAUAGGUAACAUUUUCGACAAAAUAUUUGAUAAUCUCUAACACUAUGUUCUGGAAAUAUAACAGGUACCGUAUGGUUAGAUACUAAAUUUCAGAACUACUACAAAACUUACAUAAAGUGCAGGUUUUUACCGAAAUAAAGAUCGACUCCGUCAAUGAAUCGGCCGAAGCAGCGCGCAUCAAUCCUGAGCAUUGGCAUCAUUCGAGCAGGUUCGAUCAGCAAUCACAGGCUGGCAAAUCCAGUGGAGCCCCUCCAGCAAGUCCGAGUACGUCCUCCGAUCCAUCGCCCCUCUCCUCCUCGACAAUUCGUCGAGCAGCUGGAAUGCGUCGUCGGCCCGCCCGCCCCUGCACAUCUCCUCCAGCAGCGUGCGGUACGUCAGCAAAUCCGGCGCCCUCCCGUUCCCCAACAUGUCGAGCACGACCUCCACGGCCUCCUCGAACCUCCGCUCCAGCGCGAGGCUCGACACCGCGGCCAUGUACACGGAGGCGGUGGGCACCAGGGCCUUGCCCCUCAUCUCCCUGAGAAAGGCCAUGGCUUUGUCGACCCGGCCCUUCUCGCAGAGGGCCUUGACGACGUAGCCGUAGGAGAACUCGUUGGGGUCGCAGCCGUAGAGGGGCAUCUCGCUGAAGACGCGGAGGGCGCCGUCGAUGUCGAGGCAGCGGGCGUGGGCCUUGAUGAUGAGGUUGAGGGCGAGGGAGUCGGGGACGACGCCGGAGGCCUUCAUGUGGCGGGCGAGGGAGCGCACGGCGUGGAGGUAGGCGUGGGCGGCUGGGGGGCGGCCGAUGCGGCGGAGGAGGGCGGAGAGGAGGAGGUUGUAGGUGUCGAGGGAGGGGCGGUGGCCGGGGGAGCGGCGGAGCUUGUUGAAGAGGUCGAAGGCGCGGGGGAGGAGGCGGGGGCGGGAGCAGCAGAAGCGGACGGCGGCGUUGAAGAGGGGGAGGUCGACGGGGCAGGCGCCGGAGAGGACGUCGGAGACGAGGGUUUCGGCGGCGGCGAGGCGGCCGGAGGAGGCGGCGACGGAGAGGGCGGCGAGGUAGGCCUCCGGCGGGUGGCGGUAGCCGGGGCGGAGCGAGGCCCAGCGGAAGAGGUCGAGUGCGAGGUCGGGGUCGGCGGCGGCGCGCACCGCCGCCGCGACGUCGGCGCCGGUGAACCCCGGGCGGAGGCGUUCCACCCAGUUCGCGAACUGCUGCUCCAGCGGGGUGAGCCCGCGAGGACCAGCGCUAGGGUUUGGGUCAGGGUUCGGAGCUGGGGACGAGGAGGAGGAGGAGGAGGAGGAGGAGAGGGGGCGAUUAGGGUUAGGGUUGAGGAGGAGGGAACGGGGAGAGGGGAGAGAGAGGAGGCGCUUGGGUGCGAGUCUCAUUUCCUACUAAAACUGGAAAACGAGGAGGGGAAAGAGAAAUGGCGAUCGAGCUCACCAUCAUCAAUUCAUCAUCAUCAUAUUCAUGCGAAACAAAGAAGAGAAUGGUUAAUUUGCACCGCGAGUAACUUUUCAACUGAAUUUUUCAUUUCGGUCCUUAAAAUUUUACAUUUCACAAUCAAAAUCUCUCUCUCUCUCUCUCUCUAUUUUACCGCAAUUUUGCCGCAGGAAGAAGCUGCUGCAUAAAACUUCGACGAAGUGAAGUGCUGCUUUUAAUUUCACGCAUUAUUUCGUACAAAAUUACUUUCAGAAAUAAUGUUACAAAGAAGCUCAAUGAUCUGCAUCAUAUAAAUAAAUUUCUGCGUGUUAAAAAUAACUUCAGAUAUAUCAGUUAAAACAUCAAUAUGACUUUUAAAUUUGGCCCUAAAGAUAACAUCUGGCCAUGUUUAUUCAUACAAAUCCCAAAAAGAAACAGUCCAAGAACUCAUGAUCCAGUUAAAUGAAGCUCCAGUUCCAGUGUAAGUCACGAUCUAUUAGUCCCUUCAAAAAUUUAUUUAUCUUUUGCCUUCAAGAUUACUGUCAAACUUUAAACCCCUCGGCGCGGAGGCACUGUUUAUGGGCUUCAAUCCACUUCCCGCAGGCAGCCUCGCCGUGCUCCACGAUGCAUUCGUCUCUCAGCUUCUUCGUAUCUGGGCAGGCGCAGCAUAUCUUCUUUUUAGGCUUUGAUUCCGGGGGCGGAUUAGGUGAGGUCAGAGCCUCGCUUGCAGCUGGGGGUUGGGGCAAUUUCAAUGGCAACGGCAUCCCGACCUCUACGUUGCUCGUCUUUGCCAUUUGUUCCGAAGUAAGGAAGUGAACUGCAAAACAUUCAAGACAGAGUUAAACCAUAAUGCACCUUGCCUGAUUUUCCGAACUCGUAAUUUUCGGGUUAUCACCGUAGGAGAGAGGUCAUCGUAGUUGCCGUAGGAUGCAGAUUUAAGUGAGAAAAUUUUCAUGACGGAAUAUGUUCCACAAAUGGCAUCCCAAAUCCAAAAAAGGAAACUUCACAAUUUAAUAACUAAAUAGUCCACCUAAAGUACAAGAAUGACAACGCGAUUAUGACCAAAUCAUCCACAUACAAUUACUCAGUCGAAUAACAUCUCCGACGAAGAAUACACCUAAUAAUAGGUUUCUGUAAAAUAGAAAGGGAAAACUGAAUCAUUUCCUGGAAUAACAGAUCAUAAUUUAGGGUAUAGAAAGGUAGCGCGCAAAUGUGAGGAUUUGUAAAUUUACUAAACAGACCGAAGCAUUUCCUUUUAAAACAAGCCAUGGACGAGGGAACACGAAUCCAAUAACAGAAGAACACAUGGUCUUGGUUAGUUUUGGAAAAGUAACAAAUUAUGAUUAUAAUAGAGACAAAUACAAAUCACCAUAGCCCGCUAGUUCAACUAUAACAGAGUCUAACAGGAAAGCACGACUAAUUACAUAUUCCAAUUAUUUUUAUAAAAAAUUUUCGAAAAAAAAAACACAAAGUCUAGCUUAUCCACAGGUACGCAGGGAAAGUUUUUUAGCCGUUGUCUAUAGUACCAUACAACUUCCAUGAACGGUUAUACAUAUAGAUAUAGAAUGAAAUUUUUAUAAGUAUUUCUUGUUUGUUCCCUGUAAACCAGGCAGGCGGCAAGCAAAAUGCUUGACAAAGAAAAAAGUGGCAAGAAAAGAAUGAGAGUGCAUAAGCAUAAUUAGGACAAGAUAAUGACAAAAGGAUGACAAGCACUUGCCUUUGAACAUCAACACGGAUAUGAAAGUUUCAAGAACGGGAAGGCAUUUUUGAAGGUCCAAAAACAGUAAGACCUUUCACAUUGACACAGCAGCAGGAGAUGCGCGUGACUAUGCAAUUAAGAUAUGAUAAAGCUGAUCCGACACAAGCUAAGUAACAGCGAAACAUGAUAAUUUUCAUGAAACAAANGGCGACGGAGAGGGCGGCGAGGUAGGCCUCCGGCGGGUGGCGGUAGCCGGGGCGGAGCGAGGCCCAGCGGAAGAGGUCGAGUGCGAGGUCGGGGUCGGCGGCGGCGCGCACCGCCGCCGCGACGUCGGCGCCGGUGAACCCCGGGCGGAGGCGUUCCACCCAGUUCGCGAACUGCUGCUCCAGCGGGGUGAGCCCGCGAGGACCAGCGCUAGGGUUUGGGUCAGGGUUCGGAGCUGGGGACGAGGAGGAGGAGGAGGAGAGGGGGCGAUUAGGGUUGGGGUUGAGGAGGAGGGAACGGGGAGAGGGGAGAGAGAGGAGGCGCUUGGGUGCGAGUCUCAUUUCCUACUAAAACUGGAAAACGAGGAGGGGAAAGAGAAAUGGCGAUCGAGCUCACCAUCUCAUGCGAAACAAAGAAGAGAAUGGUUAAUUUGCACCGCGAGUAACUUUUCAACUGAAUUUUUCAUUUUGGUCCUUUAAAUUUUACAUUUCACAAUCAAAAUCUCUCUCUCUCUCUCUCUCUCUCUCUCUUUUUUACCACAAUUUUGCCGCAGGAAGAAGCUGCCGCAUAAAACUUCGACGAAGUGAAGUGCUUCUUUUAAUUUCACGCAUUAUUUCGUACAAAAUUACUUUCAGAAAUAAUGUUACAAAGAAGCUCAAUGAUCUGCAUCAUAUAAAUAAAUUUCUUCUCAGUUAAAAGUAACUUAAGAUAAAUCAGUUAAAACAUCAAGAUGACUUUUAACUUUGACCCUAAAGAUAACAUCUGGCCAUGUUUAUUCAUGCGAAUCCCAAAAAGAAACAGUGCAUGAUUCAGUUAAAUGAAGCUCCAGUUCCUGUGUAAGUCACGAUCUAUUAGUCCCUUCAAAAAUUUAUUUAUCUUUUGCCGUCAAGAUUACUGUCAAACUUUAAACCCCUCGGCGCGGAGGCACUGUUUAUGGGCUUCAAUCCACUUCCCGCAGGCAGCCUCGCCGUGCUCCACGAUGCAUUCGUCUCUCAGCUUCUUCGUAUCUGGGCAGGCGCAGCAUAUCUUCUUCUUAGGCUUUGAUUCCGGGGGCGGAUUAGGCGAGGUCAGAGCCUCGCUUGCAGCUGGGGGUUGGGGCGAUUUCGACGGCAACGGCAUCCCGACCUCUACAUUGCUCAUCUUAGCCAUUUGUUCCGAAAUAAGAAAAGUAAACUGCAAAACAUUCAAGACAGAGUUAAACCAUAAUGCACCUUGCCUGAUUUUCCGAACUCGUAAUUUUCGGGUUAUCACCGUAGGAGAGAGGUCGUCGUAGUUGCCGUAGGAUGCAGAUUUAAGUGAGAAAACUUUCAUGAUGGAAUAUGUUCCACAAAUGGCAUCCCAAAUCCAAAAAAGGAAACUUCACAAUUUAAUAACUAAAUAGUCCACCUAAAGUACAAGAAUGACAACGCGAUUACAACCAAAUCAUCCACAUACAAUUACUCAGUCGAAUAAUAUCUCCGACGAAGAAUACACCUAAUAAUAGGUUUCUGUAAAAUACAAAGGGAAAACUGAAUCAUUUCCUGGAAUAACAGAUCAUAAUUUAGGGUAUAGAAAGGUAGCGCGCAAAUGUGAGGAUUUGUAAAUUUACUAAACAGACCGAAGCAUUUCCUUUUAAAACAAGCCAUGGACGAGGGAACACGAAUCCAAUAACAGAAGAACACAUGGUCUUGGUUAGUUUUGGAAAAGUAACAAAUUAUGAUUAUAAUAGAGACAAAAAAAAUUACCAUAGCCCACUAGUUCAACUAUAACAGAGUCUAACAGGAAAGCACGACUAAUUACAUAUUCCAAUUAUUUUUAUAAAAAAUUUUCGAAAAAAAAAACACAAAGUCUAGCUUAUCCACAGGUACGCAGGGAAAGUUUUUUAGCCGUUGUCUAUAGUACCAUACAACUUCCAUGAACGGUUAUACAUAUAGAUAUAGAAUGAAAUUUUUAUAAGUAUUUCUUGUUUGUUCCCUGUAAACCAGGCAGGCGGCAAGCAAAAUGCUUGACAAAGAAAAAAGUGGCAAGAAAAGAAUGAGAGUGCAUAAGCAUAAUUAGGACAAGAUAAUGACAAAAGGAUGACAAGCACUUGCCUUUGAACAUCAACACGGAUAUGAAAGUUUCACUAACGGGAAGGCAUUUUUGAAGGUCCAAAAACAGUAAGACCUUUCACAUUGACACAGCAGCAGGAGAUGCGCGUGACUAUGCAAUUAAGAUAUGAUAAAGCUGAUCCGACACAAACUAAGUAACAGCGAAACAUGAUAAUUUUCAUGAAACAAAACUUAGUAGGCCCAUUAAAGCUUAUCUAAUAUUGGUAAAUUUCCUUAGGACUUACUGAGCUUUUAUGACUAUGAAAAACAAUCAGGUUAAAGAAGCAAACAGUUACUGCAUAUCAAUCUAGAUUUCUUAUAAACUAAAAUUACUUUAAAGACAACUGCUUUCACCCUUAUUGAAAAAAUAAAAAAUAAAAUAAAAAAUCCACAGAAUGAUUUUACCAUCAUGACUACUAAUAAUUUCACACAAAUGGCAUUUGGUUCUAUGUUUGCAGGGGCCAAAUGAAUGAUUAGUCCAAAAGAACACUCCGAUAGUCUGUUUAAAAAGAUUCACAAAUGGCCAUACGCGGGGCACCCAAAGGAACACCUUCAAAGCCGCAAACAUGAUUCCAAAUGAACCGAUGGUAAUUAGAAAGAGCAAACUGAUUUAUCCUCUAUAUACCAGAAAAUUUUGGCUACCUAGUUUUAGCCCAAAAUUAAUGCCCUGAUCCUUUCCUCCCUAUUAUCUAGCCAUAUAACAAUUUCUAGGACCAAAAACUUGCUGUCAGAAGAUAUAUCUGUUACCUCUCAUUGUUCCCAGAAUCCAAACUACAUAAAGUGCACAAUUCCAACUUUUAGGACAUUACAAAUUUUUAAGCGUUUGUGAUGGCAAUAAUGUUAGCCAAUCAAUUUUAAUCUUAUGAGGUAGAUUUUUUUUUCCCCCUAAAAGACUAACUUUACAAGUUCCAUUUUGGUCCAUCAAAUUGAGUUACAUCUUUACGAGGAACAGAGUAAUAUCACAACUUACAACUGCACGGUGAGUUUGAUAACGCGCGCCACUUUUCUAACUUUUCCAUUUCACUAACCGCAAUCAAGAACUCAAUGCGGUACCUUGUUUACGGCAAUCCUUUUCUUCUCAGAAAACACUAACAAUUACCAAACCUAUCUCGCACCCUAAAAACUUUAAAGAAAAAUCUUCCAACAUUAAAAUGUUUUAGUAAAUAAACCAUUGUUCUCUCAAAGCUUAAACUUUCAUUGAACGGUAUUUUUCAUAUUUAUAUCCAACACUGCCCCUCACAUCUAGAUAUGAAAUUUUUUGAUAGGCUCAAGACAUGAACUUCAAUUAAAUAAGACAAAAGCUAAGUAACUCUAGGAGCCUUGCGACGCUCGGAACUCAGGACAACAUGCUCCGAUACCAUGUUAAAAAUUGUAAAACAACCGUUGUUCUUAAGCUUCUAGAGAAUGAUAUUUUUAACAUUAUAUUCAACAAAGAGAACAUCCAAUUAUUUUGACACCAAAUCGUCGUCUUCAACCAAUCCGUCGUCUAUAGAAUAUGUGCAAUUUAAAAAAUUUUAUUCAGCAGUAAGGGAAAAUUCAAUAACCCUUCAAAUGAUCUCAACUUUGCCUCUUUCCACAUUAAAACUCUCACCUUUUUUUCUAUUUCUACUAAUUCAGAAAUAUGAAGUUGCCACACACAGACAUUUCAACAAACACCUGAUAUGCCCAUCUCACGAACCCCGACUGAACACAAAAAAACAUUUUUUUCUAAAAAAAAAUCCAUGACCAAUCCAUAUAACCUAUUCAUCUCAAAGAGAACGAUCGAUCAUAAACCAAUUCCUUCAAUUUUUUAACAGGAUUUUUUUUUUCAGCGAUCAAAAAUGCUUACUUCGACACGAAACUAACAAUUAAUAUACGGAAAAAGAAAGAGGACUAGGAAAAAUGAAUUAAUAGUUUAAAAUCAGAUCGAAAGAAUUUUUUUUUAAAAAAAAAGGAGGAAAAAAAAUUAAAAAAAUUUACCUGGGAAACUUCGAUUCUUCGAGAAGUAGCCCCACAAUCGCCGAUGUAGUCCUCGCGCCUCUGGAAGCUUCUAAAAUACUCGGGAAACAAAUUGGUGACACACACGGUUCAAUUUGGUUUUUUUUUAUUCCGAACCAGAUGAACCGGGUUGGGCUAAAUAUUUACUGUUCCUGGUGCAAGAAAACACUGGAGAGUGCUUUUUUUUUGGGGUGGGGUUCUAAAUUAUUCAUUUGCACCUGGUCCACGCAAUAACCUCCUAAGCAUGGGUGAAAAAUGUAAAGAGGCCCCUCAAUUAUGGGACGUUCUAAGAUACUUCCCUUCACCCUAGUAUUUUUUAUUGAUUGAGUUCCAUUAAAUUUAAUAAUUUUAAUCACUUAUUAGCAAAUAAAACUAGGUUAGUUAACGAUUAAUAACUCAUAGAGUGAUUAAAUUUGGUAAUAUUUUUAAUUUAAAUAAAAAUUAGAAGUUGAGGGACCUCAACUAUAAAUAAAAAGAGUUGAGGGCUUUCUCAGAAUAGUUUAUAGUUGAGGAAUUUUACAUUGUUUACUGAGAGCCCUUUUUUCUUUUUUGAGACUAUUUUUGGGCACAGAUAAAAAUAUGACAGCUACAGGUAAAAUAACCAAAUUCCUAGUAAAAGUUUCUUUAGUAGAGAGUACAUUUUCGCAUUGACAUUAAACACACAACAAUCCACAAAAGAGAUACAAAAAAACAAAAAAGAAUACAUUUUUCUAUUUAAAAUAUGAAAUGUUCAUUGUUGUAAAGUGGAUUUGUAACUUCUAAAGCUGCUGCUAUUAAGUUAUUGCCAAUUCCUUCGAUUUCGUAUAAUACGACGAUCGCCGACAUAUCCCUUCUGAAAUUGUCUCGACUUACUCUCGGAAGAGAUUUUAUACCCAGAAGAAACCGAUUCGCCAUUUGCAGAGUGUUGGAUUGAUUAAACAAAACUCCAACUUGAUCUAAGAAGAGUUUUUCAGAACCCAUUCUACCAAAGUCGACACUCCGAACCCUGUCGCAGCGCGCUUCUUAUCAUUCCACACUGGCCCCGCCAUAUCGAUAUGCAGCCACUGGACCUUCUCAUCGACGAACUGCAAAUGUAGGAGCAAAUUCAGGUUUAGUUCAAUAACUGCUAUUUCAUCUGUAUGAAAAAUUCCUACAUGAUUAAUAAAACAAAAGGAAGGAAAUGAAAAGGAUGGCAAACCUGCUUCAGGAAAAGUGCAGCAGUGAUAGCACCGCCUUGACGACCUCCGGUGUUGACCAUGUCAGCUACGCCUGAUUUCAUCGACUCCCAAUAGCUUUCCUCCAGCGGCAUUCUCCAGAGCUUUUCGCCGGAGAUCUCUGAUGCUGCUACAAUCUCCUUGGCUAGAUCAUCAUUGGGUGUGAAAAAACCUACAUAAAUAAAGAAAACCUUUGUCUUAAUGUUCAGAAAAGGAGCGCUUCGGUACGAUUCUGAUUUAUGGGGGGAAAAACAAUAAAAAGAGGAAAGAUUUUUCUAGGUUAUACUGCAAAAGAAAAGCACUGUAGAAGAGAAAACAACUCUAAGAACGCAAGGGACCAUGCCGACACAUUUUGACAUAGAUUUUUUUUCUUUCCUUUUCUUUCUUUUUUUUUUUUGAGUAACAAACUAACAAUCUAUUCUAAUAAUUCUGAAAUGCGUUUUUAUAACAGCUUUUGUACUAGAUGGAAUUACUUGUUAAUUCAAAUAAAAUUUCUCAGAGUUGUUGAGGAUCGAUAAGUUUACCUGCAAUACUUGGCCCGAGAGCAACAAUGCAAGCUCCAGUUAGUGUUGCCAGAUCAACAAUCUGCAUGUAAUAGUAGAUGAAAUAUCAAAAUAACAGAAUCAAAAAUAAUGAAAAGUAAUGUAAACAAAUCGUAACAAUGAAACAGAGUAUGGUAUAAAUAGCGUCAUUGAAGGAAUAUGAUAGUAAGAUAUGGAUGUAUUAUUGUUCUCAUUGAAAUUAUGUUGAGGCGUACUUGAUUAUCUUUUCGGCAAACUCACUCAUGUUUUGAAGGCAAAAAAGAGUUUGCUUCUAUGUCGUGAAAUUUUGGUCUUCAUGCCACACUAGUAAUUGAUGUUGGUAACCAAAACUGAUGCAAAUAAAGAUCUACCGAAAGAUCAAGAAAAACGGCAUUUAAAUGAAACAUAAAAAAAACAACUCAACAAUACGCCAUUACCUUUUCAACACCUUGGUUACAAGCAUAUAUCAAAGCAUCAGCGAGUGUAAGCCUUCCCUCCGCAUCAGUGUUAUUCACCUGAAAGACAACAAAAAAAAGAAAAGGUUCACACGUGCUACAUGGACCCAUAAUUGGAAAUUAACAUAAUAAGAGCAGGUCCGUAGCGAAUGCGUAAGGGGCACUCCUGCAAAUGCUGAAGAUAUAACAACAACUAUCCCUACUACUUUGGGUUAUUUAAGCUGCAUAAACAAAAGAUAAAGAAUGAGGUAUACUUUCUAUUGAUAGAAUAUUAAAGGGAAAACUUCAAAAACUCCCCUUGUGGUUUUGUAGUUUCUCACUUUGCCGCCCUGUGGUUUCGUUUUUAUCUUUUCGGUUGUUUUUUCGUUAAUAUUUCAUUAAAUUAUAUACAAAAAACUUCAGAUACCCAUCUAGAUUUAUCAAAUAUUCACUUUAGUACCCUUUAAUUUUAAAUUUAUCACUAAUUUAAGAAAAAAAAAAUAAUGAAAUUGAUAAGAAAAAGAGAAAAAAGAAACCACAGGGGGGCAAAUUGAUACAUUUUAAACCACAGGGGGGCAAAGUGAGAAACUACGAAACCAUAGGGGGGGUUUUUGAAGUUUUCCCAAUAUUAAACUAGUAAAAUGUGAUAAAUUCUUCGAAGGGCGAUAAAAGAAGCCAUCAAUAAAGUAGAUCAUGAAAAGCUCUGAUGGACCAAAAGAGUAGAUGCUGUUUCAACUACUAACAUAUUUAUAACAAGAAAAAAAAUGAAGUCACAGAAAAAGUCCCGCAAAAAAGAAAAGAAAAGGAAAAAGAAAGAUCUUACACUACGUUCCCAAAUGUUCUGGAAGAUAAUCAAACUACUUCAAAUUGGAAUUAUCGUUCUUUCUUCAUUUUUGAGAUUAAAAUAUUCCAGUAAAUGGCAAGAUUAGGAAAAAGUUCUCUUCCAUGCCUGAGUAAUUAAUUACAGGAAACUAAUUACCUCAAUUGUUUUUCCAUUUGAAGCUGUGACAAUGUCACCUGGUCUCAUGCCUGUGCCACUGAUCAUAUUUUCACAGGCAGCAACAAUAAAAUGAACCUGGAAGCAGAGAAGUAACUAAGAGUACUUAGAAAAGGAAAAAAAAAAUUGACACUGUUAAAUAUAAAAAUGUUUAAACACCGUUCUCUAACAGCUUAAGCUUUUAGAGUACAACGAUUGUUUCACAUGGUAUCAGAGCAGGAGGUCCUGAGUUCGAGUCACGCCAGGCUCCUAGCAUAUUAAUUUCCUCCCAUUUAAUUCAAGCCCACGUCAUGGACCGAUUAAAAAAAGUUUCGAGCCCAGACGUGAGGGGGAGUGUUAAAUAAAAAAAUGUUUAAACACCGUUCUCUAACAGCUUAAGCUUUUAGAGUACAACGGUUGUUUCACAGACACCAAUUCGUUGAUAUUUGCGAAAUGCAAUUCCACCAAAUAUAUAAGAAAUUACCUCUACUCCUGGAGGUUUGAUUUGACCAAUGGCUUUUGCCGCACCAAAAGUAGCUGCAGAACCUCCCAUAUCAAACUUCAUCAACUCUAUCAUAGAGCCUGGCCCAGCCUUUAUGUUGUAACCACCACUACAGGAUCAAAAAUGAAAUAACUAUUUAAUAAUUCACACAAAUAAUUUGCUGUUUAACUAACAUAGAAGGCAAACUGAAUUAGUACGAGCAAAAAGUCUGGUGAGUAAAUGACAUAAUAUUUAUGGUGACUAAUCAUCAGUUAGAAGUGGGGCUGAAAAAUUGGACCAGGUUCAGUUCAUCAAGUCAGCGUGAUUCCAGUCCAAAUCAUUAUGAAUGAGCACUGCACAUUUUUUUCAUACCACUCAAACAGUAAGUUCUGUGAUCAACAAAAUGAGAAAUCACCUAUCGAAGGUUAAUCCCUUCCCAACUAUAGCUAAUUUUCUCUUCACAUCACCAUUUGGGGGUGUAUAACGUAAGUGGAUAAAGUGAGGGGGGUUUGAAGAUGCUGCAGCAACGGCUAAGUAUGAUCCCAUCUUUAAUUCUUUACAUUGCUCGGCAUCUAAUAUUGUUGCAGUGAAAACAUCACUGUACGUUGAUGCAACUUUUGAAGCCUCUUCAGCGAGAGCACCUGAAAGGCAAGUCAGGUUUUUACGAGAAAAUUCACAAAUUUCUGCUGAAAAAAUAACAAAUUAGGAAGGGAAAAAGGAUGCUGCAUAAUUACACCACAGUAAGUACAGAAGAAAGUUUGCUAACCAGGAGUUAGCACAUUUGCAGGUGCAUUAACAAGCUCUUUUCCAAAAAUUACUCCAGUACAAACAUCACUUGCAUACUUGAGCUUCUGGUCCAGCUCUGGUCCGCUACCCAGGCCAAUAAUAUCUACAGCUUUAAGUUGUAUCUUUUUGGACUCUGAUUUAAACCUGCUAUCUUCAUGCACACCUAGCACAGUUCCUGCAAAAUAUUACUACAUGAGAUGUCUAAAGGUGAUCCGAUGCCCCAUCCAGUAAAUACUGAACACAUUAUUUCACCAGCUAUAUUCAUUCUGCUUCCAUAUAUUUCAGAAAAGGCCUUUAAAGUAGAGUUUUCUCGCGGACUUAAAAGCCUGGACCACACCUGAAUUUAACUUGGGUAGGAUAGGGGAAUGUUUUAUAGGGUAAAAUGUACAGGUACUCCCUGAACUAUCCUGAUAUUGUCUUAGAACCUGAACUUCUCCCUCAAAUACUUUAGCCCCUGAACUUUCUCAUAUUAUGCAAUUCUAUCCCUAGCCACUAAAAUAUCUGAUAAAAAGUGAACUUUUCAUAUAAAUGGCUUUUAUAACCCUGUUGCAAAUACCCUGAAACAAGAAAACCAUUUUACAGUACGGAUAAGAUGGUCGUUUGAAGAAAAAUACUAUCAUUUUAUGUCAUGGAUGGAAUUGCAAUAAAUGAGAAAUUGCAAGGCUAAAGUGUUUAAGUGAAAAUGUUCAGGAACCAAGUCGCAAUGUCGGGAUUAUAUUGGGACUAUCCUUAUACUCUAUUUUUUAUUACCUAAUCUGACCCAAAUGGCCAUACUCAACCUGGGCACAACCCAUUUCAGAAGGUGCAAAGUUAUGGAUUUUUUUCACAAAAUCCUUUCCAUUCUAGGUACCUCAUUAAUACUCAAACCCGACCAAGCCCAACCCAUAGCACUUCUUCUACCUUCCAAUCAUGAUGCCGGGUAAUUUACUAGGUAAAGGUUAUAUAGAACAUACCAGAAGCGAUGGCUGAAGCAGCAUUUAGCUUGGACUCUUGCGAUACUCCAUUUGCAGAUGCAAAAACAAUAGCAACAUUACUUGCUUGAGCUGUCUUCGCCACUGCUGCAACAGCCUCGCCAAUGCCCUGAUAAGCUGUUGUACUGGAUGGCGAAUGCUGGCCUAACCCAACUAGACCUAUUCUCUUAAAGCCCAAGCCUGGCAAGCGGAGAACCGUUGACUGUCCAGAUUUCCCAGUAAAGUCCUCCUCUGCAGAAGCUUCUGCCAAAAGGCCGCCGAGCUUCUCGUCCAAUCUUUUUAAGGUCAAAUUCUCAAAUUUUGAAUUUGAAUCUUUUGACAUAUCUUUCUCCGAGACGGCUACCGCAAGAAUAUCUCCUUUCCAUUCUGCAAAAUCUAUCUCUUUUGCUGAAAAGGUGAUCUGCAUAAGAUUUUCGAAGAGUUUCAAGUUAAUUUUCUGGCAUCCUCCAAGACAAAGAAGAUCCAAAGUGUGAUUGUCCAAGACCAUGCGAAGCAUAAAUUAUUUUGUUAGUGCAGGGAGAAUUUGCCUAUGGCACACAUGCUACAAGACCUAACAUUUUCUAAAGUCUAUGGUUGGUUUUGCUAUCUAAUAUACCAUAAAAAAGAAUACUGUUAAGAUCAUUCUUCAAAUGUAUGUACACCAUAACUCAAGUCCACAAAAUCAUCAUUGAUCCAAUAGGCAAAAUGUACAUCAAGCAGACCAAAUAGCAAUAAUAUUAAUCUGUACAAUAAUUUAAAACAAAAGAUACAGGUAAUAAAUAAAAAUAGAGAACAACUCAUCAUAUUUCUUAAUAGCCACAUCCAAAAAAGAGGAAAAUGAAAUCUUUCUAAUGAAAUACCCCAAGAAAAAAAGGACAAUUUCCCCUAGAACCCAUAAGUCUAAUGUGUUCCUUGGUAAGACAUUUCAUCAAACCAUUAGCGUCCAAGACAACACCACCACAUCACAUGCAAAAACCAACAUGAUGGAGUAGGCAAGAAAACAACCUGAGGGGCCUCAACAACGUUGGGCUUUACAAGACCGAGAGUGGAAAUGAAUGGAAAUGAAGAAUAACUUAGCAUAUUUCCUAAUAUCGACAUCUAAAAAUGAGGAAAAAAGCGAUCUUUCCAGGAAAAUUUAUAAAUAAAAAAAAUCUCAAAUUUGCCUAAAGACUAAAAAUCAUAAGCCUAAUGUGUUCCUCGGUGAGACAUUUCACUAUUUAGUUAGCAUCCAAGAGACCAAGACACAUCACCAAUAUUAUCCACAAAGCAUCAACGUGGCAGUGAACAGGGAAACGACCUCAACUGCGUUGGGCUUCGCAAGGCCGGUGGCGGAAAUGAAUGGAAACAUAGAACAACUCCUCCUAUUUCUUAAUACACACACACCCAGAAAACAAGAAAAGAUGUAAUUUUUCCAAGGAAAAAACAAGCAAACUCAAAUUUCGUUCUUCAGUGAGACAUUUCAUCAAACAGUUAGUGUCCAAGUCACACCAGCACAUACACACCCACAAAACACCAACCUGGGGAAUGGGCAAGAGAACGACCUGAGGGGCCUCAACUGCGUUGGGCUUAGCGAGGGCGGUAGGAAGUGAAUGGAAACAGAGAACAAUUCCUCCUAUUUCUUACUACACACACCCAGGAAAACAGAAAAGAUGCAAUUUUUUCCCUAUAUUUUCGUUCUUCAGCGAGACAUUUCAUCAAACAGUUAGCAAGUCACACCACCACGUACACACCCACAAAACACCAACGUGAGGAACGGGCAAGGAAACGAACCUGAGGGGCCUCAACGGCGUUGGGCUUCGUGAGCCCGAGAGCGGCGCGUGCGGCGGCGGCGGAGUGGCCCAUCCGAACGGCGGCGCCGCGGCGGAGGCGGCCGGGGAGGAGGAGGGCGGAGGAGAUUGGGCAGCGGAGCGCGGCGGCGGCGACGCGGUGGGCGGCGGCGGAGGAGGCGAGGGAGGAGUAGCAGAGGCGCGAGGCGAGCACGGUGACCGUUGAAGCAGCAGCGGUGGGAGCGAUGGCACCCGCCAUGGUUGGGGGCUCCCGCUAUUUAUUUCUCUCGCUCGUUAUCAUCACCACCUCGUCGAAUCCGCCCCGUCCACCAUUUCUAGUUGGGAAAAAACUUAUCGAGACCACCCUCAACUAUACGGAAUUAUGAAAUUAGGCCCUCAACUUUUCUUUUGUGUUAAUUACAUAUUUAUCGCUAAAAAGAAAUAAAAUUACAUACUCGUCCAUACAAAAUUUUAGUCAUUUGCACUCAAACUUUGCCAUUUGAACUUUUCCCAGAAGUUAGUAACUUUCGCCUUUAAAAUAGUAUAUAUUUGUGUGUGUGGACACAGGAGCCAACUUUAACUUCCUAGUAAGAAAAAGUUUCAAGAAUUUUUAUUCGUCGAAUGUUUAAACCAGUAUAAUUUGGAAUAAAGAAGUUGAUCCAAGAACAAGAUAGAACAGUCAUCAGAUGUGCUCGCAGGUGAACAUACUUAAAUCUUUGAGUUCUUUUGAACUUGAUAGCAUUUGAUUUUGUUUUGGGCAUAAAAGCACAUUUUACCGUCACGCAAAAGCGAAGGAAAAUUCUAUUUCAUUCAUUCAAAAGAGAGAGAAAAAGAAAAGGACAUAAUUCUGAAUAAUACAGAUACAAACUCUUAUAAGGAAUUUAACAUUCUUGGCUUCUACAAGGAUUACUGUUCUCUCAACUAUAUGAAGGAAAAAAGAAAAUGUACAAACUGUCAUAUGUGACCUUCAGGUAGCCUAAGAACUUCAACAUCAAAUGAUGAUGAAACAAUUUACCAACAUUUGACAUGCCACAUACCUCAAGGAAACUGAAUAUCUGAACCCAAAAAAAAUGAUAAUAACAUGUCAUAAGAAAGCAUAAAGAACGAAAAAGUAAUGCUUAUAAUCCACAUAACCACGCGGCCGCAAACUAAUACCAGAGUUUAAUAAGUGAAGAAUAGCAGCAUGUACCAUACGAUUUUCGUAUAUAUAAAAGGCCCACAUCAGUUGUAACCCACAGGUACGAGAGUGCGCCGACACCGUGGCUCACCAGAAUACAUUUGACAACCGUUUCGCUCGCUCUGCAUCCUUUUAGUUUGUUUCGAUCUGCCUUGUCACUUCAAGCGAAUCAAGGUACAUAAGGUACCCUUAUCGGCCAAUCAAUCAUGCAUUACAUGGCAUAUUAAUUGUCGAACAUAGCGCACUAGACCGAAAUUUUCUGGCUCCAAAUCAGGCCAACAAUGUCAUUCGCGAAAGAUUGCAUAGUUAAAGUCUUAUGAUGUAAUCGAACCGGACAAACUUUGACUUCAGGGAGUACGAAUGCAGAGCGCUAUUAGGAACAACUAGAACCUUUCAACAUUGCAGAAAAUAACAGCGAAAGGAAAUAGAUCAGAAGCGAUAAUUCGAGGAGGAGGAGAAACAGGCAGAAGCUCUCACCUCGGGUUAAUAUACGUUCAUCGAAAUUAGUCGCGAUCACAAUGCGGGUUCAAGUUGUUAGAUCCAAUCCACAAAAUGAACAGCGAUCUAUGUUAUCUACACGAAGCAUUGAUGGUAAUGCAUGCGAUACUGUCGGUACAACUUCUCACAAUAGAACUCAUUCAGAGGUGUGUUGAUAGUUUACGUAAGGAUACACAAAACAGCAGAUUAUAUCUAUCUGCUUGGAUGUUCAAGCUGCACUUCUGUUCUUCCAAACGGAUCAGGAUCGGGUCCUAAAACUGUUUUGUGAGGACGCAACAGAUUGACUAUAUCAUCAUCAUCCUCAGCGUCCCCUAAUCUCCAAGCUCCUCUCGAAUAAUUACUAUCCCUUCUCCUCCGUUUCAAUUCUAGGUGUUCCAAGUGCAAAACAACCGAAACGCCUAUCAAAAUCCACAGCACUAGAGCCCACGUGAGCCGUUCAGCGAGUUCACUAUCGUGCCUGUCCCCAAAAUGCUUCAGUCCACUAAAGAGCGCAGCUACUCCAACUAUAAUCGCACUCCGUCCUGAUAAACUAUGAGUGUUCUCCCAGAUUCUUCUUCUCAUUGAAGCAGGCUCGUUAUUUGGUCGGAAAUAUGCAUUUAUUGGCUGAACAACAACCAGUAUUAUCGCGGCCACGCCAAAUUUAGUAUGCAUGGAGCUAAUAAAAAUUCCCCCAAGCUCCGCAGCUGCGAGAAAAAUUGAGAAAACCACGACAGCUAAUCCGGUGUACUGCAAAAAUACAUGUACUCGGUACCACUUAUCGCCGUUCAAAUGUUUUAGGAACCUCGCGGUCAAUAUCCCUGUAGGAAAUAUAACACCCCAGGAAACAAACAUCAUAAAUCCAUGAAUAGCUAAAACCUGCCUCAAAUCCUUCUCCGCCUCCGCCAAUCCUCUAAGCAGCAUAAUGCGCUCAGGGCUAUCACUCAUAACCGAAUGCAUGUUCCCUGAACUCAAAUGGGUCUCCGACCAGCGGUCCCCCAUCGCCCAAAUCACCUUCAAAGGCUUCGUCGGAUCAAUCACAUUCUCGCACUCUACCUUCCCGCUACACGAAGGCGAUAACGGUCGGGUAAACUCGAACAAAAUCGCGCCAUUUUCCGAUCUGCAUUGAACAUGUGUUAAGUUCUCUAAGGUUAAAUGCAGAUUCGACGGGCCGCGGCCGUUGAUGUAGUACGAGCUCACUCGGCCUUUCCCCUCGUGAUCUAUCCAACCUACAUAGGCAUAACUAUUAACCAUCCGAUCGCCGAGCCCAAUCGCGAGGUACCCGCUUCUCCUCUCGCCCCGAGCCGCGAUUGAGAUGGACCCAUUAGACAAUUUCCAAAAGAAGGUAACUUCCAUAUCAUCCAACCCCACACUAUUGUUAUACCUAUAGGUAAAAUCCCCAUCUUCGAUCAAAAACCUUGGUGUUACACCCUUUUCGAGAGGCUUCUCCUCCGCUUCGAGUGGUUCAGGACAUUCGUCGAACACCUCAGACGCAUUGAGGAUGAUGCGCCCGAAGGAGAUUCCAUGAUCAUCGGGGAGGUAAUAGGGGCGCCGCAUCGGGCCCGAAGCCCACGCCACGGACACGGCAGCGACGGGGGGCGAGAGGGGGAGGCGGAAGCGGAAGUAGGAGACGCCGGCGCGCCGGCGCGCGCACACCAACCGCGCGUUCUCGGAGCGGUUGCGCGCGGCGCCGAGGGAGCAGGGGGCGUGGGCGGUGGCGAAGAAGUCGGCGACGAAGGGGGCGCCGCGGGGCGAGAACCCGGCGACGACUACGUCGUCGGCGAGGAGCGGGGGCGCGGCGGCCCAUCCGAGGGCGAGGUAGUGGUCGAGGGGGACCGCGGCUUCGAGGGCGAUCUCCAUGGAUCGGAGCUCGGGGACGAGGGUCCAGUGGAGGCGGAAGGUGGGGGAGAGGAGUCGGCAGCUGGAGAGCGGAGAGGGAGGAGUCGGCGCCGAGCUCGUUGAAGCGGAGAAGAGGAGGAGGAGGAGGAGGAGGAGGAGGAGGGGGAGUGGCGUAGGAGACGACGCCAUUAGAGGGCUCGUGGAGAAGCUCGGGGACGACGAAGAGGAUGGAGACGUAGUUAAUACUUGUCUAUGGAAGUUACAUGUCACGGUUAUAUUACAUAUCCAUGGUAAAAAUGUAUAGAGACCCCUCAACUAUAGAAUAUUGUGAAUUUAACCUCUCAACUAUUUUGUUCAGGUCAACGCAAUUGUUGCUUUAGAUUUUUUUUCUAAUUUAAUAAAUAUAUUAAUUGUUAUCAAUUAAUCGCUUUAAUUACUUGCUAAAAGUUAAUUAAAUCUAUUAAAUAUGAUGCUAUUAUUAAUAAAUGGUAAAAAAAAGAUUACAAAAAUGUGAAUUUGAGGUGUUACUUUGAAAAAGUCCUAUAGUUGAGGGGUUUCCCAUUCUCUUUCUACAUAUAUCAAUUUUUUUUAGCUUGUAUGUCACUGUUGUGUGUGGGCCCACAUGUCAGUGUGAGGGAAAGGUGAUAUGUAACCGUUGUACGGGAGAUGAGAAUAAUGUGAGGCACAUUUUACAUUUGGCGCGAGUGUGUUGCGAUCUGGGGACGGUUGAAACUUUCCAAACUGAUGGAGAUGGUAUCUGAGGGGUUGAUGAAUAAAAAAUAAUGUUGCAGUUUGUCUACAGUCCUGUGUGCAGUAAAUUUCUGAUAUGCAUGUUUGCGAUUUAGAUUUAGACCGUCUGUAUAAUAAUUACAAUUAUUCGACCCGCUGACAAUAAUAACUCGUUAGACUAAAUCACCGGUUCAAAAUAUUUAAGCCCGGUUAUUAUUAAGACCAGAAUUACUAGGUGUGAGAUUUUAGAGAUGGCUCCAAACUCCCCCCUGUUCUCGUCGGAUCCGUCCAAAUCAGAUCAUAGAUUCUAGAGGUGGAUUCUAGAGGUGACUCCCACUAAAUCCGUUGGUGUAACACUUUAUCUCGUAUAGCACUUAAUUCUCACACUUCCAGCUGGUAUUCGACUCUGAUACCAAUUGCAACGAUCUCGACCCACUAACAAUAAUAACUCGUUGGGCCAAACCAUCGGUCCAAAAUGCUUAAGUUCAGUUAUUAUUACUACGUGUAGGUGUCAUAUAUUCUAAAUAGAAUCAUUUUUUCAUCCGACAUGAAACUAUUGGGGCGUUACAAUUUCUGUAUCAGAAUAAUUUUAUACACAUUUCAGUAUUUAUUAGCAGCGUAAUCAUCCUGUGUACAGAAACCAGCACACUCUAUGUAAUCUCCUUUGGGGGACAAGGAAAUGAAAAUGGCUUGGUUCAAAAAAUUCUUUACAGACUUUUAAUAUGUUGGUGAUUCUUCGUCAUGCUUUGAAUUAUGUGCAAUAAUCAAUAGUGUACAAUAAGAGGUUUUUUUUUGUGAUUAUAAGCUAGAAGUAUAUUUUUAGUCCCUUAGAACAACUACGUUCUGUGUGCGAUAUAAUUUAUUCCAUUCAACAAACGUAUAAGUAUAUUAUACCAAUUAGGACUUCAAUUGUGUUGGUUUAAAUGGGCCAGUAUCCUGCCCUGUGGCGGGAGGUCAUGUGGGCCGAGUCAUGUUCGAAAUGGCGUGAGGCUGGAUUGGGCCAAGUCAUGUUCGAAGUGGCGUGAGGCCAGAUGGGCCGAGUCACAAUCGAGACCCGUGGGCGCUGUUUCUGUACACUUUAAGUGAAUUGGUUGUGUAUUUCUAACAGCUCGAGCUUUUGGGAUUAAUAGUUAGCGCCAACGAUCCGACAAGUGGUAUCAGAGCCAGAGGUCACGGGUUCGAUUCCUGCAUGCUGCAAAUGUGUCCAGGUGCUGGAGGGACGGGCGCUGUUGCUGUACACUUUAAGUGAAUUGAUUGCGUAUUUCUAACAGCUCGAGCUGGGAUUAAUGGUUAGCACCAACGAUCCGACAAAUUGUACUCAUUAUCUACCACUUACUGCAUACUCGGGUAUAUAGCUUAACAAUGAUAUUUCGUAUUCCCUUUUCUACAUUAUGAAUACUCAGGUAGAUGAUUUGAUAAGAGCAUUUUAACCUAUUUUCGCAACUAGAUUAGUGUAUCUGAAUAUGGAUGCGGAUACGGCUCAAGUCAGAUAAAACAAAUAAUAAUAAUAAUAAUAACUCACAUUAGAUAAAACUCCGACUCGAAAGUGUGAUCAAAUGGUUAUUAUUAGGGUUUAGAAAUGGGUAGCACAAAUGUAGUUCAAAAAGCUAGAACGUGAAAAAAAAAAGAAAGUAGAAACUCUAUUUUUAAUUACAUCAAUGUACAACUCAACUAUAUUACAGGUAAUAUAUCCUUGCGGCAAUAGAACAAUAGCUAUCAAAAACAAAAAAAAAAAAAAAAAAAAAAAAGAGUCUUAGGAUUUAGGAGAAUGUUUCAAAAAAGAAGGGUGCUCUGAGGCAGUUGUUGUUACAGGUUAGAUCGUUAAGGGGUCUUUGGAAAGAGUAUCGCGUUUUGUAAUUUGAACCCGUUUUAGAUGUUUUUGUGUACUCCUCUUUGUUUCUUGUUUUCUAUUUUUUUAUCUUCUUUGCUUUCUCAAAGGUCUGGUUGUCUUAAUUUAUAGUCGAAUUCAUCUCCUUAAUGAAUAAAACGAUAACAUGCUAUCAAUUUCCUUAAAAGAGAUAUAUAUAGAGAGCGAUGUAGAUUGUAAGCAUUAAUCAACUAUUCUAAAAAUAUGUACGGAUAGAAAUGACGCAUUCAUCAUAAUUAAAGGCUUAAUCAGAAUGCUCACGGACUUCAAUACGAUUCAACCAAUCUGAACAUUAGACUAUUGUUGGGUCUCUUACUCUUAGGUCUAUUAUGAACCGUAACUCAAUUUAUUGGACUCACCAAACUCAAUUUAUUAGUCUUCUGGGUCUAUUAUUACAGGGCAGAAAAUUAAAGCCAACAAAAGAUCGAGAGAGAGAGAGAGAGAGAGAGAGAGAGAAUCUAGCAAGCAUGGUAAAAACAUGUAUUCGUCAUUUUUUCCUUAAAAUAUUCCUGCUUACCAUUGACUGUUCCUAACGCAAAUGGUAAAGAAUUUGAUGGUUGGUAUUCGAGGUCCCAAGUUCGAAUCCUUGCUGAUUCAUAUUUCAAACUAAGUUUAUUUCUAAACAAAUAAAAGCAUCCUUCAAUAUAUAAUAGAGACAUAAAGUACAUUCAACACAAAUUGGGAAAACAAAAAAGGGAAAACUUCAAAACCCCUCAUGUGGUUUCGUACUUUUUCAUUUUAGUAUCCUGUUGUUUAAAGUAUAUCAAGUUAGUACCAUAUGAUUUAAAGUGUAUCGAGUUAGUACUCUAUGGUUUUAUUUUUGUAUCAAGUUAGUAUUUUGUGAUUUUAUUUUUGUAUCAAGUUAGUACCCUAUGGUUUUUAAAACCAUAGGGUACUAAAGUGAUAAAGUGCGAAACUAUAAGGUACUAACUUGAUACACUUUAAACCAUAGGGUACUAAAAUGAAAAAGUGCAAAACCACAAGGUACUAACUUGAUACACUUUAAACCAUAAGGUAUUAAAGUGAGAAAAAGUGAAACCACAAGAGGGAUAUUUGAAGUUUUCCCAAAAAAAAACUGUUUGAUAAAUUAUCAAUAUCGAUACCUCUAGCAAAGAACAAAAUCGCUUUUAUUUACUUUUAGAUUUAUUAAAAAUACAAUUUAGAUAUAUACUUAGGGCAUGUUUGUUUCGUGCUAUGACUGCUAUCUUUUCAAGAUAUCUAAUAAUUCAAUCGGAAUGAAAAAAACGACGAUAUUUUGCUAAAUUCACUAAGUAAUCUUAUCAGUAAUUUUAGAUUCACUUGAGAAGAAGAUUCAUCUCACAGUAGUAAUCUUAUUUUCUUGUGAUGGGGUAAGUAUGUUAUAUUAAUUAUUUGAAGUAAUCUUAAGUUUUCUAAUCCAAUCUGUUAUUUAUCUUCCUGCCCCAUUAGAGAUCCUCGAUCUUCCGACUCUUCUCUCGACCUAGAGCAUACUGCCAUGAUCAUUUCCAUCAAUCGGGCGUCCUUUGCCAUUUCUGAGGUCUCCUUGCUCUUGAGCGAGGUUCAUGAGGUAGUUUUUUUUGCCCUUUUCUUCGCCCCGAUCUCAAAUCCAAACUCUAUUUUUUUUAUUUUGGAUAGAUUUAUUGUACAACCAGGGCUAAAUCUUUCUAGUUUAUUAAUACAGUGAAAUAUUGUUUAAAUAGACUACUUAUUGCUCUAUUUGCUUUGAUUUUGAAUGGAUUUAUUGUUUAAAUGAGUUUUUUGUUCUAUUAGCUUUGAUUUCAGAUAGAUUUAUUGGUUAAUUAGUUUAGAUUUUGUAUGGAUUUGUUGUCCAAAUGAUUUUGUUAAAAAAAUAGAUGGACUAUUUAAAUUAAAUGAGAAUAAAUAUCUGUACGGUCCACGCCCGACACGGUCCAUGCAACAAUUUGACCUUUUUUACACCCAUGCAUGAUUGGUUGAUAUAAUUGGGCUUUUUUUUUUUUUUCCAAUAUUUGAGCUCAACACAUUUAUUGAGCACAAGUGAGCAUAUUAACUUGCAUAUAUAUACAUGUAUUUAUGCAUCUGAUAUAUAACAAUAAGUUGGUCUCAGUAAAAUAAAUGAGUCACGCUUUACUUGUGAAUUCCCACGCUCAUGUAUUUAACAUAUACAACACCUGCAUGCAUCUGCCAAAAUUUAUUUUCCAAUUUCUACAAAACCUUUUAGAGGUCAAAAUAUUAAUUAAAUGCAAAUGGAACAUUCAAAUUGGGUUGUAAAAAAGGGUGCUUAUGCCCAUUUUUCGAAAGUAGAUAUAAGUAGAAUCGAAAUUUGUAUAAAUUAUAGGUUGAUAUCAUAAUAAAAUUAGUUAUUUCUAACAUAGAUGCUGAUAACUAAACAUGGACAGUAAAAGUUAUGUUAUCAAAGAGUUUAUGCGUACUAUCAGAUAAUACGUCGCUGAUAUCAUUUGAGAAAAAUUAAUCACUCUAGUCUAAAUUUUACAUCCAUCUAUUUUUACGAAUGAGCACAGUAUUAUUCAUUAACUAUCUGAUGUUUUAAAAAUUAUAAAAGCCGAAAAAACUGCUCAAAUUUCUCAUAAUUUUCUCUUUCUUUCUGAAAUUGGUUUAAAUGCUACAACUAACCAAGAUUCCCCUAAUUCAAAUUUUGUGGGCCAUUAAUGUAAUUAAUUAUAGGUGGAUGUAUAGCAUUAAUUUGAAUAAGUUACUAUUCUUUUUCAAUUUCCCUGGUAAGUUAAUGCAAUUAAUUAUACUAGAUAGUGUAAGUUCGAAUAUGUUUCUUUUUUUUAAUCCCUGGAUUACGCAAACCCCACACGUAAUCAACUCCUAAAAAUAAAUUAAGGCAUAAAAAUUGGAAAAGUAGAAAUUUUUUGUAUAUUUUUACAUGAACCGAAUUUCCCGCGCUCUAACCACGACCGUUGAGCAGAAGCAAAGCAUGUAGCACGCAAUCGAAAUUACUGCCUGCACCCGGUGUAUCUAUUCACCUCAUGGACCAUAUCUAAUUUUGAAAUUUAAUUCUAUAAAUGUGAUAUAUAUAUAUAAAUAAAUUGGCAAUUCCAUGUGACACAUUUGGAGUGAACCUAUCAACUAAUCGAACUCUUUCAAAAAGUAUUUUUAAUAAAUUUACAAUAUAUAAUGACAAUAUUAUAAAAUCUGUAGUAAUACUUACGAAAAGGUUAUAAAAUUUAUAAAAUUUUUAACUAAGUAAUUAAGUGGUCUGAAAAAUUAAUGAUAAAUUCAUUACUACUCUUUGAUUUGUGAAAAAUAGAUUUUUAAAGUUUAUAUUUUCAUUUAUAUAUAUAUAUAUAUAUAGUUUUUUUAAUGUUGUAAAAUAUAUAGAGCAAAUUAGAAUAUUUUUAGGAGGCGGUGUAUGAGAUGUACUUGUACACCAGGUGCAGGCAAAAGUUUCUCAAUAAAUGCGUGUGUUUCCCGGGAACCCGCAGGGAGCAAUAUAUGCGCGCAGUGGGACCCACCACCCCAUUUCAAAUCGGAAUACAUGCGUACAAGCCCAUGCAUAUAAAUAUCUACACUCUGGAUUGAUCUCACCGUUCAUUAGCGUAGAAUUAAUCCACACCGUCCAAUGUAGACGGUGAAGAUUCAUUCCGAAGAGAAUGAGCGACGGAUCAAAUAAGUUCGUACAAAUUUCUACAAACGUAGUUGUAGCAAAUCCACGCCCAUUCAAACCGCCCCCAUCUCACACUCUCUCUUUCUCUCUCUAGGGCUCGUAUAUAUAAAUGGUCGGAGUGAGCUUUAAGAAUACGCCAUGGAUGUUGAUGAUGAUGCGAUAAUGGAGAGUGAGAGGAGGAGGAGAAGAGGAUCAGAGCUCGUUCUCGCCUCUCCAUCUCCCUCCUCCAAAUACUCUCCUCGGUCGCUUCUCUCGCGCCUCCUCCUCCUCCUCCCCCUCCGCCGCGCGUCUCCUUCGUCGGCGGCGGCGGGGAUCGGCGGCGGCGGUGGUGGUGGAAGCGAGGGUUUCGGGUGCCGGGUGCGGAUCCCGGGGUAUUGCUCCGGUGGGAAGGAGACGAGGGAGAAGGGAAAUGGUGAGGGCGAUGGUGGUGAUGAUGAUGAUGAGGAGGAGGAGGAAGGAGAAGGGGGAGUGGAGGUGAGGGUUCCGUGUGAUCGGGAUCGAGCGGCGGAGAUUGAGGGAGGUGGGGUUGGUUCCGGCGAGAGUCGUAGUAAAGAGAUCUCCAUCUCCUCAGGUGAGAGGCGAUUUGAUUUCUCCUCUAUUUGUGCCCAUUUUGUGCUUGAUUUUAGGGAAAAUAUACUCCAAAUCAAAUCACCAUUAAGAGUUUAUGAAGUUUAAAUUUACUUUACGAACGAUCAAUUUAGUCUAAAUUUUUUUAGAAUAAAUCAAUGAUUUAUUUCAAAGUAUAGCUUAAAUUUUCGUUUUGAAGUUCUUUAAUCCCCCCGACUCGUAGUACGCAUUAUUCAAACGGACAAUAUAUUGAAAGAUGAUGAGGUACAUCAUUUAUUAAUCUUCUACUUCAAUUAUAACUUAUAAGUUAUAACCUUGUUGGAGGCGACUGCUUAAACCUUUAAUCUUAUUGUUGUAUUAAAUUUUCAACUUUUCUGUUUAAGAUUAUGUCGACGAUAAACAAGUACUCUUUAGUUACUUUUUGCUAAAGAAAAUGCUGUGUUAACGAUCUCUUUGAUAUCCAGGACAUAAACCAGAAGAUGUUUGUUUGACUCUUGGUAUCGGUGUAAGUCUGGUCUUUCUUCUUACGAAGAGCGCGACCGAACUAAAUAAGAUAACAGAAUUACGAAGGCAGAUCGAAAUGCUGCUUGUGGACAUUAAGAAUCAGAUGCGAAAGAAGAAUGUUUCCUUCAGCAUCGAGGAGUCGAAUAAUGCGCCUAUGACUGGGUCGAGUAGUUUUGGAAAUAUUAACAGAGGCGAUUCUGUAGAUUACCAAGAGAACGGAUCAUCCCGCUGUUUGGAAUCAGUACACUGUGCCUUUAAUCCUAGUACAAAUCCAAAUUGUGGUAGUAUUAGAGUAAACCAAAGUAGCAUUGGAAUGGAUCAGAUAGAAGCAGAGCUUGAAGUUGAACUAGAACUCCUACAAUUCAGUCUGAAUGCCAAAAAUUCAGUGCAGCUUCCACCACAUGGAGAAUCGGAGGUAAAACCCUCUUCUAGAGCUUUAUGUUUUUAUAUGUAGUAGGUUAACUGGUUGAAAUCGGCUAAAAUGCAAGGAAACUCUAAGUAUUCCAGUUUUCCCUUUCCCACCUUGAAGAUUGAAAGUAAUAUAUAGCCCCAUUAAACUGUAAUUUUGCAUCACUUUGCCUCUUUUUGUCAAUGUUGUUCAGGCAAUAUGUAUCAAAUUUCUUGUAUCUCAAUCGGCUAUAAUGUAGGUACUUUUAAUGUUUCAUAAGGGUGAUGCGAAAAUUGUGAUGCUUAUAGAAGGGUUUCCUGCAAUUUAGCCUUGAAAAUAUAUAGCAUUUGCAAUAUGAAUAGUUAUCUGUUCUUUUUAGGAACCCUUUUUUUUUCUAGGAAAAGGUUCUUUUUAGAAACCUUAGGUUACGCCGGUACCUAGAAUUCUAGUUACAGCAGAGCUUAGCUUUGUUUUGCUCUAGCAAUUGUUACUUUGUCUUCUAGCACUUAAAGGAUGCCAAAUGUUUUUCUUCCAUGGAUUUUGAUCUGUACAUCAUGCCCUGGAUUAAACUCUGGUGCACAAUUGUUGUCCCUUGAAUCAAAUUCUGGCUAGCAAGCUCACUCAAUUUCCAGAGGAUCAAAAUCUACUUUUGAGCUUUACAUAGUACCUUUCGCAAAAACCCAUUUCGUUGGUUUGAUUAAAUUCAGAUUUGGUAAUUGUGUCAAAUAGCUUAUUAUGUUUGGGUUUGGGAUUUUUGGUGCAUCUGAGCCUUGAUGAAUUCAUUCGGUAAUGAAGUAUGCUUCUCCUAAUAAAGGCCACAUGGCCCACAUCUAAUUUGAGAAUAAUUGCGCAUUUAGAAGUAGAGAAGCAACUUAAGCACUCUUUCCUUGGUCAUAAGUUUAGGAGUUAACUGCAUUAUAAGAUUAGUUCAUGGACUGUGCUUGGAUGGAGUAAAGGUUAUUGUCCUUGUGUUAUACUAAAUGUUAUUUCUUCAAAUUGCACAAUUAUCUAUAUAAUUCACUUUGGAUAUUCUUGAAGUGAUUAAAACUUCCGCUUAGAAGUAGCGUUUCCUGAUUAAGUACCACACAGCAAAUACAGAGGUUAUGCUUAUAUUGAUGAACCUUAUUUCAAUGCUCAACCUAUUUGAGGUUAAAUAAACAUCAUCUAUUAAUAUCUUAAGAAUGCACUCAAGGUGUAUAUUCUACACACUGAGAAAGCUAAAAUUAUCUUGAAACAUGCAACCAAAACCGUGUUUUAAUUCCAGAACAAAACUGUUUUUUAAUUCCAGAUAUGGAACUAAAUGAACUCCGUCCUAGCUCUUAACUUUUGUAAGUGCAAUAUUAAGACUUCUAUUCAUAGAAUAUAUAUAUACACCCUUCAAGAAUGUGUGAAUUGGCUUGAUUUUGAUGUUCUGAUGGUUAGUCUGGUUUUGUUGGGAUUUACCUUGUCAUAAAUUCAUUUUCCAUGGGCACUGAACUCUCGCAUGAAGUAUCCUAGUACACCAUUUCUGGCCACAUUUUGUUAGGGAAUGGGCACAAUUCACAGGAAAAAGUUAGGGUUAAGCAUUGGCAAUGGGGCCAAUCAAAACCAGUAGUUAGUUAAGACCGCUCGAUAUUUAUAUUCAUCACCACAUUCUUUUUCUCUUUUACAGCCGGAAAAUGGAAAGAGCAAUCUUUCUGAAAGCUUAUCUUGGAGUUGCGGAGACGACAGUGAGGUUAAAGAACAAAAAGCAGAAGAAAAAGAAAGCAUUCCUAAUUGUGGAGUUUCUGCACAUGAGCUAGAGAGGAGAUUGCAUGAGCUACUAGAAACAAGGCAGCAAGAACGAAUAAGAGAGCUCGAGUCAGCUUUGGCUUGUGCCGAAAAUAAUCUCCGUGAGAAAGAAAGAGAAAUAUACUGGUGGAGGGACACUGCGAGGCUGGUCUCACAACACAAGGAUGAAGCACUUUUAAGGUUGGCAUUUCUUGUUUGUUUGGCACGCUUGGUACCUCUGCACAAGUAUUAUCUAUUAAAUUCCUCUACAACUUGUUGUAGCAUUAGUAGAAGCUUCAAAUUGGAACUUCUGCUUUUGGGCCUAAACAAUCAGUUUCAUAAAGCUUUUGCUUUUUGGAAUAGAGAAGCAGAUGAAGAUGCCAGGCCAACCAAGCGCUUGUAUUACUAUACUUGGCUCUUGCAUUCAGCCAUUCACAACAAGUUAACUUGCUUCAUUUUGAUCGAAACCAUGAAUUAGGUAAUGCUCAGGAAGGAGCUUACUAUCUCAAAAUGCUAGAAAGAAAAAUCAGCUUGAAGCAUUAGAAGUUAUCAAUACCAACUCAAUUUCCAUGGCUCAUGGGAGGAUUAUCUUGGGCGUAAGAUCAAAAGGCAAAACAAGUAACUGGCGAAGGUAAAUAUGCAAUGCAUUUCUACUGUGUAGCGAAAUCCUUUUGUUUAGUUUUGUUUAUUGGGGAGGGUAAGAUUCCAUGAGGUCUAUGCAAAGUAAGCAGUACCAUUUGGCAUUCUAGUGUUCUUUUUCCUGUUUAAUUAUAAAGUAAUCUUUGUUGAUUUGGUGCAUUGUCUCAUGCUUCCUCAUUGAAAAUCUAGCAUUGAACAACGUUAGUCGCCGUUAUUAAGCUUGGCUAGUUUUCCAUACUCUAUGUGUUGAUAUUAAUGUAAAAGCUGUUAGGACUUUCUGAAUAUCUCUACUGCCCCACUACUGUAGAAGCUCUUGGCAUGCCAUUCUUCACAAAGAUAUAUGAGAAGUUUAAACUAUAUGCAUAUGAAAGGAGGUGUUUGUUCCACACCAAAGUGGAAAAAGAUGUUUGAGUUAUUGACGAAUGUCAUAGAAUGAUAUAAUCUUCUAGUUUCUGCUAGCUAGAUCUUAGCUUUUGUGGAAGUGCUGUUUAAAUAAAACCGCUAGAAGAAAUCGUAAGAGUUCUUUUAUUAGAUCUAUAAUAGCUUUCUGAUUGAAUUCAAAGUCUCAUUUUCAUCUGUUUGUCGCAGCUAGAAGUUUUAGACUUCUUAUAGUACUAGAAAUUUGAGAGGCACAGAUCAUGCAAUGAGUCUUUUAUUACCUUAUCUAUGUAUUGAAAAUUGAAAGGCACAAAUCAUGCUGUUUUCGAAGAAAAUUCUUUGAAUUGUAAUAAUGUUGCUAGUUGACUUGUCCCUUACUAAAUACUGGUCCCAUAAAUGUGGAAGUCCUAGUGCAUGUGACAUUAAUGUAAUGAUAAGCCUAAUUGAAGUCAAAAUAGGAACUUUUUUCUUUUUAACUCUAAGAAAUGUAAGUUAAAAACCUCUAGGUAUUUAAAAGAAGGGUAAAUGACAAGUAUGGUCCUCAAACUAUGAGAGGCGGGUGACGCUUUGGUCCUUAAACUUUGAUUAUCGUAAUUUCUAGCUUGAAUUUUUAAAAUUAUUGUAAUUUGGUCCCACAACCCAAUUUAGUUGACUAAAUAUUAACUCAUUGUUGAUGCAAAAUGAUAAUUGUAGAGUAUGCAUGCCCAUUUGAAACUAAAAAUUGGGCUCUAUUCACUCUCACAUUGCACAUCAAACUCAUCAACUACACACUUGUGCUACAUUUUAUGGUGCCAUAUUAUAUAAUUGUUUUCCUAAUUGGUUGUAGAUGAUCUAAAGAGAUCCUAGUUGGGUGCUAACAUUGAUUGGUACAUUUAGAGAGUAACGCAUAUAAUUUUGUUUUAUCUUCCAUGGAAAAAGAAUCUUUUGGUAGAGCUAAUCCUCGGGCAAUCGAUCUCUUCUUUUUAAACCCAAAAAAGUGGGUCUCGCAAUAAGUGAACUACUUUAGGCCUUUUCUACUGUUAGAGGCUCAUUAUUCGUUACUUUUGGAUUAACCAAUCCACCACUUGAAUAAUAGAUAAAAAAAUGUUGAAAUUUUUUUAAAAUGUGGUUUCAUAAAAUUUAUUUUAUUUACUGCUGAUUAUAUUUAAUAGUAUUGAUCGCCGAUUCGGAUACCCAGAAACAACAAUAGCUUGAUAUUUUUUUAGAAGCAUUGUAGCGGACUCCCUUUAUAUAAUUUUACAUAUUUUUAAGGGUGUAUCAGCAAAAACGAACUUCUUUCUUUUUAACUAUUUAUGCCAUACUUUAUUUGUCCCAAACAGGUUGGUAGAGAAGAAUAAAAAUAAAAAUAAAAAUUAUUAUUUAUUAUUUAUUAUUAUUUAUUAUUUUUGUUAUUUUUAACACAUUUGAUGUGGAAUAAGGAAUCCUCUAUUGCAAAAACGUGCAACCAUUAAUGACACAAGAUCCAACAGUUUCACAUGCUCCACAACCCCCCCACCAAAUGUUGGGGACAUUUUGUGGUCCCCAUUAAUUGGGCCCCACCAUUCUCGUACUGCUCAAUCACAAACAAGGAGCCAUGUUUUAUUUGUUUAGGUUAAAAAUAGGGGAAACUUCAAAUACCAUCCCUAUGAUUUCACGUUUUCUCAUUUCAGUAUUCUGUGAUUUAAAAUGUAUCAAUUUAGUGCCAUGUGGUUUCAUUUUUAUCUUUUUAUUAUCGAUUCCACUAAUUUUUGCAUUAAAUCAGUGACAAAGUUAAAAAUAAGGAUACUAAAGUGAAUAUUCGAUAAACCUAGGUGGGGUAUCUGAAGUUUUUUAUAUAUAAUUUAACGAUAUAUUAAUGAAAAAGCUGACGAAAAAAUAAAAAUGAAAUCACAGGACACUAACUUGAUACACUUUAAACCACGGGGUACUAAAAUGAAAAAGUGCAAAAUCACAUGGGUGGUAUUUGAAGUUUGCCCUUAAAAAUAUAUUGAGCGUAUCUGAACUAUAGUCCAUUUUGAAUCAACUACCUAAUAUUCAAAAUUUGGAUUUUACUAUCAAAAGCGUUUGUUUGAAUUAGUUAAUGGUACUUUUGACUUCAAAGUUUAAACUAAUUAUUAAUUUUAAUCGGUUUAUAGUUGUGGGGAGUGUAUAAAGCAUACUAACUAUGUCUAUAAAAAUAAAUAAAAUAUUCAAAUUUUGACGUCAAAUGCCGCUGGCUGACUUAAAUCAAACAAAUUUUAGAUAUUAAAAUUAAAAUUUUAAAAGAUUGGAUAGCAGACUCAGAAUAGUACAUAGUUUAGAUGAGUUUGAUAUGAUUUUAUCAUUUAUUUAAUUAUUUAUUUAAUUAUUUACUUUUGUUGUAAAAGAUUCAGAGUUUGUCUCGAUAAUUGUUGAACUUUAAAUAGACAAACAGUUCCUGGCAUAAAUGGUAAAAGGCUUGAUGGUUAGUAUCCGAGAUCUUUAAUUUCAUAGAGUAGUUGUUUAAUAUUUUUAGUCGAGUUCAUCUCAAAAGAAAAAUGAACCAAGGAGAAACAUUUUUCAGUAAAAAAAACUUUAAACAGGUUCUUAACUUUAGACUUUGUUUGGUCUUAUUAAUAUUUUUUAAAAUAUAAAUUGUGUGCAAAUAAAUAGUAAAAUAUAAAUUGUUUGGUUUUAUAUUUCUAGCUGAGUUCAUCUCAAAAAAAAAUAAAAAUAAAUGAAGUGGGUAUAUUUUUCACUAAAAAAAAACUUUAAAUAGGUUCUUAAGUUUAGACUUUGUUAGGUCUUAUUAAUAUUUUCUAAAAUAUAAAUUGUAUGCAACAAAUGGUAAAAUAUAAAUUGUUUGGUUUUAUAUUUCUAUCUGAGUUCAUCUCAGAAAAAAAAUUAAUAAAUAAAUGAAAGGCGUAUAUUUUUCACUAAAAAAAAAUUUAAAUAGGUUCUUAAGUUUAGACUUUGUUAGGCCUUAUUAAUAUUUUCUAAAUUAUAAAUUGUAUGAAAUAAAUGGUAAAAUACUUGCAGUCUAUAUUCGCGGAAUUUAUCAAUAAUAAAAAGUUAAAAAAAAUUGAGUAAUGCCAUUUUUUUUCCACUUUUUUAGAUUAAAAAAAAAAAAAAAACUCUCUUUGGUCAACAGCCGGAUUGCAUUGUAAAAUAACCAAAAUAGUAAAACCAAAAAAAAGUAGAUAUUUUAAUAUAUCCAAUUACAUAAAAAUUUUAUUUAUGAAAAAAAAUAAUUGUGCCAAACAAGGUUUAGAUUUUAUUUUUGAUUUUUUGGCUCCAAAAUAAUGUGUUUACAAGAAGCUUUUUGAAGAUAAUGUGAAUCUAAGAAUUAACCAACUAUCUUAAAAGUACGGACCGAUAAGAAGAACGCAUCUAUCGUACUUACGAGUUUAACUACAACACUUAUGGACUUCGAUCUUAACUCAAUCUAUCUCGACGUUAGAUUUAUUGUCAAGUCUCUUACUAUUAGGUCUAUUGUGGACUGCAGGACCACUCGACUUAUUAGAAUCAUUCAACUCAGCUUAUUACUUUAUGGGUCUAUUUUUACGAAACAGAAAAUUAGACUUAUUUUAACCAAUAUUAAUUAGCCGACAGAUAAUCAAAGGAUUUUUAUUCAGCUAAUGCUUUCAAUUAUAAAAUUAUGAUGGUUUUAUAAGAUUAUCACACAUCUAGAUUAGUUUAACUAAUCUACAUGAAUUAUUGAUCAAGGUUGACAAUUAAUUACUUAAGAACUUAAAAGAGAUUUGCAUCAUGAUUCUCCCUUUAUUACUUUUUCUUCUUUUUUUUUUUUUGCUUUAGUUUUUGUGGGCCCCAACACAAAGUUAAAAUUGUUCCUUUACAAAGUAUUGGAGUAUAUAACCAAGUAGUUAACACACACACACACACACACACACACACACACACACACACACACAACAAAAAAGAAGAGCUACCCUUGCUCACUAAACUAUCCAUAUAAUGACAAAAAAGCUCCUAUUUUCUUUUUCUCUUUCUUUUUUUUUUUAUUCUGUUUUUAGCAUUAAAGUUUCCUAUGGAGAAAAAUUACUCCUCUUUAAUAAAUGUAAGAAACUGUACUUUCACAAAAUAUAUAUAAAAAUUCAGAUUUUAUAGGUGUCUGAAAUUUAUGAGAGAAAUUUUUAAACAGAUCAGAUUCAUUACAUCUGAUAAAAUUCUAAAAUUACUCUACAUUUAAAUCUCUUAGCAACUGAAUGAAGAUCACAUAAGCCAAAAAAAUAUAUAUAUAGUUGUAUUGAGCUCAUGAAGAUAACUAACAAAACAAAACUACCACAUGAUUUCCAUUAAUUGCAACAUGUCUUGUAUAUAACUAAUAUUAAUGAUAAUAAUAAUAAUAAUAAUUAGGGCAACAAAGAGAUUGAACAUGAGUAGUUAAUGCAAUUCAUUAGUACUUAAAACUCACCACUCCUCCCCCAUUUCCCUCAACUUUUGAAUUCUUUAAUAAGGUUUUUUUUUAAAAAAAAUUGAAUGGAGAUCCCCUCAACUAUAGCCUCUUUUAACUUCUAUUUUUCCAUUAAAAUAAUUCCAGUUAGUUAAGUCCAUAAUUGUAUUGAGUUUAAUGACUCUAUUAGUUAUUAAUUAGCUGUUAAUUGUGCUAGUUUUAUUUACUUAAAGAGUGAUUAAAAAUUUUACAUUUCUCAAGUUAAAUAAUUAAAAUUUAGGGGCGUCAAAACAAAAACUAAACAAAAGUUUAGGAGUUCAUUUCUAAUUUUUUUUAAUUUAAUCUAUUCUACUAAUUGGUUAAGUCAAAAAAAAUAUUAAAUUUAAUGAUUUGGUUAAUUAUUAGCUGAUAAUUCUAUAAUUUUAUUUGCGAUUAUUACAAAUACUGAAUUUGAUGAAUUCAUCUAUAAAUCUGGUAAAGUUUUUACUUUGAGGGGGACAUUUUGAAAUGUCAUAUAGUUCAGGGUUCCCCACACAUUUUUACCAUGCUUUGAUUAAACAUUUCACUCUUUAUGUUUAUCCCAUUGAAGUAUAAACCCUAUCACAAGAAUCCUCUUUAUCUUUUGACUAAUAAAUAUUAAAAUAUUAGUUUAAGCAAUUUGCAUGAUUCCAAUAUGUGAAGGUUUUCUAGUAAUAAUAGUAGAAGUAGCCAUUCUUUUUUUUUCUUAGUAAAAUUAUUUUUUAAAAAAUAAUUCAUCAACAUGUCGAUAUAAAAUCUAACAAACAAAAUUACUAUAUUGUAUAUACUUUGGAAAAAAAAUAAAAAAAACAGCCUUUUUUUUCAAAACUCAAAACUACAAAAAAUACUUUUUGGAAUAUUUUUCAGAAAACCAAACACCCGCGCUGUGUCCUCUUCUUUAUUUAAAGCUAUCCAAAUCUUUUUUUCUUUUUCUUUUUUUUUGAGAGAGAAAUAUCCAAAUCUCUUAUAAAGAUUAUACUCGCUAUCGUGUCAAUAAAUUAAAGCUUCUUCUAAGUAGAUAAGAAAAGGAUUUAAUGAAGCUGUAAAAAAGGAUUGGAUCUUUUUCCCAACACAAAUGAGAUUUGGAUCCUAUACUUUCAAAAAAAUAUAUAUAUAUUAAUAAAAAUUGUGAGGAAUAAAUGGACAUGGAAUCAUGUGCAUUCACCACACUUGAAAAGAAUUGUGGUGGAGGAUUUGCUUGGUAAUUAAUAGAUAGGGAUAAUUGUCUAUAUACCCCUCAAAACUUUAAAAAUAUCUAAUUUAAUCUUCUUUUUUUUUGUUUCCAAUAUACCAUUCGUAUGUUCCUCCGUUAUUCAAAAAUACUCCCGCAGUUACCAUCCGUUAAGUUAUCUCGGAUUGAACGUGAGUUAAAUGUGUAUCAAAGUUUAAAAAAUUAAAAUAUAUUUUUGUCCUUAAGUUAAGAGCAAAUAAGAAAAGUUGUUGAUAGUAAAAGGUAUAUUUGAAAAGAACAAAAAUCAAAAUAUUUUUUUUACCCCUAACUUAAGGGUAAAUAAAAAAAAUUGGUGAUGAUAAAAUGGUAUAUUUAAAAGGGCAAAAUAGUAAUUUUAUAGAGAUAAUGGCUAUUGCUAACAGUUCACUAACAAAACUUAACUCAGGGGUAUAUUUAAAACAACUGAAACGUAAGAAGAGUAUUUUUAAUACUUAUCUUCUAAGAGAUGUAAAUGAAAAAAUCGAAAAUUUUUCACAGGUAUAUAAACAAUUACUCCUAAUAAUGUGAAUUUGGAAAAGAUAGUAGGAACCAAGAAAAAGAACAUGUUAGUGGGUAAUGAAAAAUGCAAUAUAAACCAAAUAAUUCAUGAGAAAAAGAAAAAUUUAUUACCCAUAUCCAAUGCAUUUGUAAAUAUCGAUAUCAUUUUAUAUUUCAGUCGUCCUCAUCAUUUAAAAAUCAGAGUGAAUUUAGAAUUCGGAUGUGUUUGGUUCCUUGUAAAAUCAUCCCGAAUUAGAAGAUCAUAGUUUUCAACAGUGUAGAUAGUUGGUAGGAAGCAGUGCAUAUUAGUUGGAUAGAUAGAUGCACAGAUGUAAAGCACAAUUUCUCCUAAUAUAGGGUCGCUUGAGUUGUCAGACCAUUGACACUAAUCAUUAAUCCUAAAAACUCAAGUUGUUAAAAAUAUACAAAGCGUACAAACACAAUACCUAAAAGUCUUGAUUGCGACUCAACCCAACCAACCUCACACCACUUCAAAUAUGACUCGGCUCAACCCGACUUUUCGCUAUUUCGAACGUGAUUCAGCCCAAUCUAACCUCCCGUCACAUGACAAAAUAUUAGUCCUUUUAAACCAACAUGAAUCUCACUAACUUACAAAGAUUUUGUU